GCAUUCAUUUCCUCUCUAUCCAUUAUGCUUUAUUACCGAAUCACUAUCCCAAAUUAUAGAUAACCAUUUCUUUCAACAAUUCAACAAGUUGAAAUAAGAAGACAAAUAUAGUUUUUCUUUUCUAAUAAAAGGACAAAUAUUAGUAGAUAGAGUAUUUCCAUUUAGCACCACACGGUUCAUAAAACAAAUAUUCAUAAAUAUUCUUAUCAUUAAAUCUUCCAAACAACAUAUUACAAACUCAGAAUCAAACAACCAACUAGAAGCACCCAUAAUAAUAAUAACAAUGGUUCCACACAAGUAAUCAAACAAACAAACAAGGAAGAAAAAAAACACCACACCACGCCGACAGCAACAAAAGUCUCACAUCCCCUACGGAAAAAACACCGAAAGUUACGUCCCGUGAAAACGUGAAACAAAAGCCAACCACCAACCGCCACGUGUACAGGACUUUAUUUUAUUCUAAUCCACUCACCUAAACACGUGAUCGGGUCUUAAUUUUAUUUUAACCUUUUUUUAUAUUGCGAGAACCAAACCGGGUACGGAUUUACCGACCCGAUCAGAAACGCUACUCUCCCAGACGCAAGGGAAGCGGCCGGAAUCGAACGUCGCCGGGAGAAUCUCCUCGGAGUCUUUCUCGGCGAAGCGAGUGACGGUGAGGGAAGUGUUGAAAUACUCCCUAACUUGGGUGAUUAUCCCAUCCGCUACGGUCAGCGCGUGAACCCAGGAAAUGGCGCGUGAAGUAUCGCAGCCUUCGACGAUGAUGGUGGAACCGAAAGAGACGAGUGACUGUGGAACGAAACGGAAGGUAUCGACGGCGGUGGAAUCGCCGGUGAGCAUGCGCAUCAAAAACUGAUGAGAGGGUGGACCGUGAAACCACCACUCAAGAUCAGAAGCGAGAAUCUUGACCACGGUGUCGGAAUCUCGAGAGUUUAAGGCUUCAUAUAGUGUGAGAACCAGCUUUUGAUGGCUGGAAUCAGCUUCUUCGCCACUUUCUUGAAAGUUAGCCAGUUCGAGAAAAAAAUGUUCUUCUAGAAAUUUCGAUUUAGGGAGAUGGAAAUGGAAUGUUGAGAAAUGGAUUUUUUUUUUUUUGUGAUGUUGUUGCUUUGUUGAGACUUGUGGUUGAACCUGUGAGGGUUUUUAUAUGGAAACUUUUGUGAUCCUAUGCGGGUGGUUGUAGGUGGAACUUUUGUAGGUGAUGACGUGGCAAUUUUUGAUUGGGUGUUUGGUGUAGAAAAGAACUUUUUGGAGUUCGAUGUGAUACGCGUUAGUAAGGAUGUUAUACCAUAGCUGGAAGACGAAAGCGAUGACAAACAAUAGAAGCAACUUUUCUGACAUUUCAACACUUAUUACUUGACUACUUCCAUGUUUGGUACUCCCUUUCUUUCAAAAUCUCAUUAGAAUUAGGAUUAUUAUAAGUUUCAAAUUUUAAAAAUUUAUCCAUAAAUAUGAACUUGCAUAUGCAAGGUAUUAGUUGUAUUAAUUUUAGUUUUCCGAUUUCUUUUAAUUUUUUUUAAUUAUGAAUAAUAUUAUAAUAUUAAUAAAGUAUUUAUUUUUAAAUCUUGGUAUUUGGUUUUUUUUAACGACUAAUUUAAAAAAAUUAAUCUAAGUAUAGAAAUUACUUUUACCUUGCCUUGUCGGGUAGAUAACUAAUUUAAGAUGACAAAUUCUAUCACAUAACUAGUCUGUUUUGCAAGAGACUAAGGGCCCUUUUGAUAUGGUAUUGGAAAACUGUUUUUUAGUUUUUAAAAAUUAAAAAUUAUAAAAUUUGUUUGGUAGUCUAAUUUUAUAAAACUAUUUUUCAAAACUAUUUUCUAUUUGUGGGUUUUUAAAACUAAAAAUCUAAAAUAGAUUUUAGAGGUUUUGAUUUUUUGGUUUUUAAUUUUGGAAAUUAGGAAGACGACAAAACAAGGAAAACUGGUACUAUAUUCAUCAAUGACAAAUUUGUAACAUUGUUCAACUUUAAAACAAUUUUUAAAAAUUAGAUUAUCAAACAUGUUUUUUCUUCAAAACUGGUUUUUUAAAAUUAAUUUUUAAAAUAGUUUUUAAAAACUAAAAAAUAAAACUCAUUGGGCCCUAACUAUUUGCACCUAGUCUAUCUUAUAGAUGAUUAAUUCAAAAAAAUCAUAUGAAUUCGAAAUACAGUGGAAUUCGAAUAUGAGACCUUGAGUGGACACACUUUCUGUUGAAUAGUAAUUCAUAUUCAAGUUGUAAUUAGUUUGAAUUUAGAUUUCAUUUAAGUUUAAUUUGGUUGACAUUUGUAUUUGAGGUUGCGUAUAUAAUGAGAAGUUGCUAUUUAGUUUCAGUAUCGUAAUCUACUUUUAAUAUAUAAAAGUUAAUUAUCACCAUAAUUACUUAAUUACCCUAAUUACAAUCCAUAAUACAGCUAAUUUCAUGUUCCUAUAAGUAAUUUCAUACUAAACUCUAUUUAAUACUCUAACUAACUCUACCAUUUUACAAUUUAAUAAAUUUGCCUCGACAACAUAAAAAUUGAUUCAACUAUAUAUUAUAUAAAAUAUAAUUAAAAAAUUGAUUCAAAUAUAUCAAAAUACAUUAAAAGAGAGUUUUUCANAAAAGUUAAUUAUCACCGCAUACAUUACUUACAUUACCCUAAUUACAAAUCCAUAAUACAGCAAGUAAUUUCAUACUAAACUCUAUUUAAUACUCUAACUAACUCUACCAUUUUACAAUUUAAUAAAUUUGCCUCGACAACAUAAAAAUUGAUUCAACUAUAUAUUAUAUAAAAUAUAAUUAAAAAAUUAAUUCAAAUAUAUCAAAAUACAUUAAAAGAGAAACGCAUUUGUUUCAACUAGAAUGUUACACGCAUUUGUUUUUAAAAUUUAAUAAGAAUAAAAAAAUAGAAACGCAAAAUUAUUUAACCAAGAAAGUUUAUUAUUUAAAAAUAACAUAUUUUUAUUUAUAUUUAGAACAUAAAUAUAGUUGUUUCAUAUAUACAAAUAUUUGGAUGAAUAGUAUAUUUUUUCGUAUCUAAAUAUUAAUUUUGUUUUGAUAUUUUUUAUAAAAAUAUUUAUAAUAUCAUUUAGUUUUAUAAAUAUCAACUAAUAACAUAGUAUUCGUAAAUAUUAUUUUAAUUAUAUAAAUAAAUAUUAGUAACAUAAAUAAAUAUAUUUUUCCCGUAUUUGGAUUCAUCCAUUAUUUUAAAUAUGUUUACUUUUAUUUUCUUUAAUGUGAUAAAAAAUAUAAUAACCCAUGAAUUCGCAUGAAUUCUGAUAUGGAUACCUGUACGUUCGUAGGGUACUAAUGUGUUACACACAUUUAUUUCUAAAAUGUAAUAAGAAUACUAAAAGAAAAAUUAUUUCACCAAUAAAAUUUAUUAUUUUUAAAAGAAAAACAAUUUUGUUUUUAAUAUUUGAAAUAUAAAUAUAGUUUUUCCAUAUAUACAAAUAUUUGAAUCAACAGUGUAUAAAUAUUAAUUUUGUUUUGACAUUUUUUAUAGAAAUAUUUAUUCAAUCAUUUAGUUUUAUAAAUAUCAACGAAUAACAUAGUAUUUGUAAAUAUUAUUUUAAUUGUAUAAACAAAUAUUACUAACAUAAAUGAAUAUAUUUUGUCCGUGUUUGAAUUUAUAUAUUAUUUUAAAUAUAUUUACUUUUAUUUUUUUAAUUGUACAAAAAUUGUAAUAAUUGUACAAAAGUUUAUUAAAUUGUAAAAUGGUAGAGUUAGUUAGAGUAUUAAAUAGAGUUUAGUACGAAAUUACUUAUAGGAACAUGAAAUUAACUGUAUUAUGGAUUGUAAUUAGGGUAAUUAAGUAAUUAUGGUUGAACCGGAUAUAAAUAAAAAAGAUUAAAUGACAAAAUGAAUUUUUUUAAUAAUAAAUAUACUGAUUUUUUAAGUGGUUUUUCUGAGAUGUCAAACCGAGAAUAUGAAAAGAGUGAGAAGUAAUAUGAAACGGUUUGAUGAAAAUUAGGGUUUUAUUUAAUUGAAUAAAUUGAUAUUAUUAUUAUUAUUAUUAUUAUUAAUAUUAUUAUUUAUUAAUAUUUAUUAUCAUCAUUAUUAAUCUCAUUUACCCACUUAAUAACUCAAAAUAUUCCAAAACCACUAUUCCAAAACCACGGACAAUAUUAUACCAUUUUAAAUGUAAUGGAUACAGAUAUGCAACUUCCAAUACACGUGUUCAACCCUAAAAAAUAGUAUAUCCACACCUUUCACUUCAAUAUUUUUUGCUUAUAUUUGAAACAAAUUUUCCCAAAAGUAAUCAUCAUUAAUGCUCUACUUUAACAUCACAUCAAACCUAUAUCUAUCAUAUUUUUCAAUAAAGAUAGAAACCAAAUUUGAAUAAUAUAAUAUUAAUUUUAGUGAAAUCUAACAAAUUUAUUUCAUUCCCCUAUAAGAUUAUUAAAAUACAAUUUUAAAUUAAUUCCAGGUACAAUAUUCUGUUUGGAUUCAUAUAUUUUUUUAAAAAAAAAAUCAUUAUGUAAUUGUAAUUUUUAUAAAUUCAUUCUGUACAUUGACAAUAUUUUUUCUUAAUACUGUUUUUUUCUUACAUUGACAAUAUUUUUUCUUACCUAUUUAUACUACUAAAAAAUAUUACCGUUAUUUUAUUGUUAUUGCAAUCUUAUCAUUCCAAAACGAAANGACGCGGCAAUGACUCAACAGCUUUGAGGAUACCACUAUCAGAACUUUCGCCAAACAUACUAAAUGACGGUCGUGGUAUAGCCAACGUUGAAGUAAGUCGUCAACUUCAUUCGUCCUUAAAGACUAAACCAAGUACCAAUAAUAAUAUCAGAUCAAAAAGGAUAUCAAGCAGAAACAUUACCAAAUUAGGAGUUAACUUAUCUAAGAGGUUUGACAAUACAUUUGCUGCAAAAACAUCAAACCAAGUUCCAACACCAGAAUUGCAACUCAAUGAGCUUUUUGCAUCUGAUAGUGGAGACGAUAAUAUGAAUGAUGAAUCUGACGGUAUAUUCUUAAUUAUUUUUCAUUUGAGUUAAUUUGUUUAUGAUAUGUCAUAUAAUAUUACAAUAUUCUUAACACAAUAAAUGUUAUGUCAAAAGGUUACAGUUCAGCAACAAAUUCAAGUUUUGAUGAAGAUGAAAUGUCUAAUGGAACAGAUGCUAUGGAAACUUUUGAAAUUACAUCAGGUAUUUUAAAAUGAUUUACUAUANGUCCAUCGAUUAUAGCACUGAUUCACAUCCUACACAAAACAAUAAAAUACUGAAUAGACAAUAAAGUGGAAUUCAAGAAUAUGAGAAGCUUGACGCGGAACAAUUUCGUUGAACCUAGUAAUUAAUAUUAAGUUGUAAUUAGUUUGAAUUUAGAUUAUUUAAGUUUAAUUUUUGGUUGAAUUUGCUAUUGAGGUUGACGUAUAUAAUGAGAAGUUGAUAUUUAGUUUAGUAAUAAGUAAUACUAAUUUCCUUCACAUAUAUAAAAGUUAACUUAUAAAAAUAAUUCACACUUAACUUCCAUAACUAACAUACUAAUACAAGAUAAUCCUCCCUCAAUGUUAAUCACAUACCCACGUCAAUCUCUAUCCAAAUAAAUACUUUUAAUAAUAUAGAUAACUAAAAUUUAUCACAAAUUUACUCACAACAUUGCACCUAGACACAAUAAAAACUUGACUUAACACAUACUAAUUAUCAUAAAAAUACCUAAUUAAAAUUACAUAAAUAAUAUAACCACAAUUAAAGCAGAAAAGAUUUCGUUUAAAAUCACGAACUGUAAACCCACGAUCCCCCUCUCGUUUUUAAAAAACUCUUAAAUAAAGAAUACAAAAAAUCAGAACACGCACAACACACUUCAUCUCUAAAACACGAAAUUUAUCUAAUUUAAACAAUCACACAUAACUUUUAUUCUACUAUUCUACGAAAACUCCAACUCUAUCACGUUCCGUCUAAUAUCACUCAACCCACACAACCUAUUCUGCCGACCCUGGAAUAGCUCAUAUUUUUUUAUAUACUAACAUACUUCAAUUUUCGUUUUGAAUAAUUAUCUUCUAUAAAAAUAUUAUAAUACUAAUUUAGUCUCCUUUACUACAAUAAUAAAUCUAACUAAUCAGUAUUGUAAAUCAUUAUUCUUAAUUUAUACUAAAUACCAAUACCCUUAGUAAAACAUAAACUAAAUCAUAUUUUUACACGUAUUGCGCAUAUAUAUUCCUUUUAAAUAAUGUUUUAAUUUUAUUUAAUUUAAUGUGAAAUAAAAAAAUAUAAUAAAUGAAUUAGAUGAUUAUGAUAUGGAUAAAUUGUUAAAGUUAGUAGGGAAAAUGUGUUAAUUAUUAUAAAAUGAUAAGAAUAAUAAAAGAAAAAAUUAUUUAAAAUAAAAUUCUAUUAUUUUAAAAGAAAAAAAUUUUGUUUUUAUAUUUGAAAUAAUAAAUAUAGUUUCUUAUAAUAAAAAUACUUGAAUAAAAACAGUGUAAUAAAAUAUAAUUUUGUUUUGAAUUUUUUAUUUUAGAAAUAUUUAUUAAUAUUUAGUUUUACUAAAAUAAGAAUAAAUAGUAUUUGUAAAAUAUUAUUUUUAAUUGUAUAAAAAAUAUAAUAAAUAAAUGAAUAUAUUUUGUACGUCGUUUGAAUUUAAUAUAUUUUAAUAUAUUUAAUUUUAUUUUUUAAUUGUAGAAAAAUCUGUAAUAAUUGUAAAAGUUUACUUAAAUUGUAAAAUGGUAAGAGUUUAGUUUAGAGUAUAAAUAGAGUUUAGUAAGAAAAUUAAUUAUAGCAAAUGAAAUUUAAAAUGUAUUAUGGAUUGGUAAUUAAGGGUAAUUAAGUAAUAUGGUUGAAAGGAUAUAAAUAACAAAAGAUUAAACUGAAAAAUGAAUUUUUUUAAUAAUAAAUAUAAUCGAUUUCUUUAAGCUGGCUUCUUAUGAGAAUGUAAACGAGCAAUAUGAAAAGAGUUGAGAAGGUACACUAUGAAAAGGUUUGAUGAAAAUUAGGGUCUUUACUUUAAUCUGACAAUCACACAUUGCAUCACUUUAUUAUUAUCCAUCUACACUACACUUAUCAUAUUAUUUAUUAAUAUUAUUCAUAAUAUUUACAUUCACCAUACACUCUUAUUAACAACUUAAUAAAUAAAAAUAUCCGCAAAAAAUAUAAAUAAAUAAAUAGGACCGCCAAAUCCCUCAAUUUAAUAUCUCAUAUUAUAUUAUAAAUGUUAAUGAGAUCAAGAUAUGAUAUAUUUAAUAAGUGUUCAUUCAAAAAUCAUUGAUAGUAUAAUCAUUGAAUAUCUUUAAUUCAAAUAUUAUUUGAUUUAUUUAAUUAUGAUAAUAAUAAUUUAUAAAAGUAAAUAUUAAUGAUUUAAUAAUAUAUUAAUUAAAUGAAUAAUAAUAUAUAUACAUAAUUAAUUUUAUAUAUAAAAGAUAGAAUACAUAUAAAUUUAUGGAAUAAUAAAUAUAUAUAUUAGUAAUAUUAGUGAAUAUAAAUGUUAUUAAUUAUAAUAAGAUCAUAUUAAAAUAAAAUAAAUUAAUUCCAGGUACAAUAUUCUGUUUGGAUUAUAUAUUUUUUAAAAAAAAAACUCAUUAUGUUAAUUGUAAUUUUAUAAAUUAUCUGUAAUUGAAAUAUUUUUUCUUAAUACUGUUUUUUUCUUACAUUGACAAUAUUUUUUUUAUAUUUAUACUAUAAAAAAAUAUUACGUUAUUUUUAAUUUUUAUUCUGAAUCUUAUAUUCAAAACGCAAUCAAUAUCUGAAAUCAAAUUAAUUAUUAAUUGUAGUUUUUUUGCCAAAAUAUUAUACGUUUGAUUGAUUUUAUCUUUAAUGACAAAAUGGAAUUUUUUUUAAUAAAAAUAUUACGAGUUACUUUUAUUGUUUUGACAAUACUUAUACAUUAUAAAAAUGAAAAAAUCAAAUACUGAAAUAACCAAUUAAAUCUUAUUAUUCGUAUUUUUUUGUGAAAUAUUAUACGUUGUUUAAUUUUACUUUUUAAAUGAAAAAUUGAACUUUUUUAAUAGAUAAAUAUGAACCAUUAAAUUGUAAGGAGCAGUGUGUUCAUCUUUAUGGACAUUGCAAAUGAGAGAACGUUGGAAACUCUCAAUAUAACCAAUGAUUAUGCAACAGGCAUAACGUAACAUGUGUAGGAAUUGGACAUAUAGAUAAAUGGAUUAAGAAAUCACUUUAGUUUAUAGGAUAUAUUAAAUACAUAGGUGAUGAAAAAAUUUUCAAUUUCCUAUCUACAAAAUACAUGUUACGUAUGCAAUUAUUUUGGAGGGAAAAGACGAAAUUUUAGUAAAUAUAUACUAUAAUAUAUAUAUAUAUAAUAUAUAUAUAUAUAUAUAUAUAUAUAUAAUAUAUUAUAUAUACUAUAUAUAUAUAUAUAAUAUAUAUAUAUAUAAUAUAAUAUAUAAAUGAAGAUCCAUUCUUCACUGUAAACUUAUCAUAUUAUAUAUUAGCAAUUUAAGUAUUUUUCAAAUUCAAAAGAAAUGAAUUAUACAUGUUGAAUGAGACAAAGAGUGUAAGAAAACUUUAUUUCAAAUAAAGAUGGAAAUGUCUAAGUUAUGUUUUUAAUAGCGUGAACCUUUGAUAUUUUUAUUAUUAAUAAAAUUAUAUAUAUUGUUGUUUAUUUAUAAUGAUGAAGAUUAUAAUAUAUGUUAUAUAUGUGUAAUUUUUAUCAGAGUAUGAUCAAAGUAUGAUAUUUGAUUAUAGAGAUGAGUGAGUACUAUAAUAGAAAAUAUUCAAAAUGGUAGAUGAAGAAAUUAUAUUUUUAAAACUGUUUUGAGGAAAGGAAGAUGUGCAAAAGAAGAAUUUAUAGAAAGAGUUAUUGAUGACGAAGAAAUAUAAGAGGUUGAAAACUGUUAAAAAGAAAAAGGUACAUUUGAUAAAAGACAGCGGCAAUGACUAACAGCAUUUGAGAUACACUAUCAAGAACAUCUUGGCAAACAUACUAAAUGAGAGUCGUGUAAUAGCAAGUUGAAGUAACGUAUGUAACUUAUUCGUCUAAAGACAAACAAGUCAAGAUAAUAAUAUCAGAUCAAAAAGGAUAAAUCAAGCCGAGAAAUUACCAAACUUAGGAGUUAUAACUUAUUAAGAGGUUGAAAUACAUUGCUGGCAAAAAACAUCAAAAGUUAACAAGCAGAAUUGAAAAAUAAGAUUUUUGCAUUGAUAGUGGAGAAGAUAAUAUGAAUGGAGAAUUACUGAAGGUAUAUUACUUAAUAUUUUUUCAUUUGAGUUAACUUUGUUUAUGAUAUGUCAAGUAAAUAUUACAUAUUCUAAACAUAAAUGUUAUGUCAAAAAGGUUAAGUUACAACAAUUCAAGUUUUGAUGAAGAUGAAAGUCAUAAUGGAAAAGAUGUAUGGAAGUGGAAAUUGAACAUCAAGGUAAUUUAAAAUGAUCUUACUAUAAAUAAUAUUUAUUAUUAUGAAUACAACAUAUUAAAUAGUGACUUAAAUAAUAUUGAUGAUGGCCGCACAAGGUUCUCCGCAUGCGCCCCCCCCACUCGCCCAGAGGUUUAUGAUAUAGGGGGAUACUGUCCAUUGAUGUAAAUAUUGUGGUGCAAAUAACGUGGGCUUUCAGAAGGAAAACAAUGUCGUCAAUGCCGUCAUAUCCUAAAUUUUCCAUGUGCUUGUGGAUCAAGGAAAAGGUCAAGUUAGACUUUGUUAUAAAACCCAUUACCUAAAGUUCUACAACCAUAUGUCUGUUUGACAACGAGUACAUGUGACAUCAAAAAUUUAACAUAAAAUCGAAUGUACAGUUAUGUUUUGAUUACAUAUACGGUGGAAAGUGGACAACAUACGAUUUCAAAACGGUAGAUGCACCCUACCAAUUUUUAUCGUAUCAAGGUAAUCAUGUACACGAAUAGGAAGAAUGUUACCGAUGCACAGGUCAAAAUACAAAGUUGCACAACUAUAAUGUUUAUGAUCACACGAGAAACUGAAAUUGAAAAACAGAAUGACUGGAUUACAGGUUAGAUACCUAUAUUAUUCUUCCAAAUUAAAUUAAUUAUCUUAAAAUUAUAUAAAUAGUUCGAAAACAUCGUUUACAUCACUUAUUUCAUAUACGGUUAUCAAAAGGGAGUUGUAUGCUCAUAAUAUUGUGAGAAACUUCCUGAAGUAUUUGACAAAAAUAUUCAUGCACAACAUUAUAUGGCAUGGGCAAAUAAAAUCUAGUACUUUGGGAACGGUGUUGAUCUAGAUUCUAACAAAACCAUCAUCGUUAUUGUAGAUAUGGGCGGAAACGUAACUUAAUGAAAGACAGAUGUGAUUAACUCGGCAAUCCCUGCGAACUAUCAACAUAAAACCAACCAACUGUCAUCCGACAGUAGCUCUUUAAUUGAUUGGAAUGUCGACACUGCAGAAAAAAGAGAACAUUAUACGUGCAACAAACAAUGUGGCGAACUUCAAAGGAUAGAUGAGUAUCAUACCAAGUUAUUUAGGAUAUCAGUACCAUUUAUUGAAUUUCCCGCCAUAUGGUGAGGAUGGAUAUAGACCCUAAUGUGAGGCACCGUGAUAAAGGGACAAAUAUUCGCCACUUCAAGACAACACAGUCAAAACGAACAAUAAAGAUAUCCUUGGGAGAAGCACAAAGCGAAAUCGACUUACAAUCAAGAGAGUGGUUGGCCUUUAGAAUUCAAUCAAAUUAAUGAAGCCACAAACAUUUGCGAUCAGGAGACUUUAUCACAAUUUUUGUAAAUAUACGAAGAGCGGAGUUACAAUCCGCCGAACAAUUGCAAUACAAUAAUUUGUUCUUAAAUCUUACAGGUAAAUAUGUAAAUGUUUGUAAGUUUUUGUCAUAAUUUUAAUAAAGUUACACUUUAAAGUAUAUUUAUCUUACAAUUUUUUAAUGUAUAAUUAAUUAUUCACUGCAUGUUGCUAUGUAUUUUUUUUAAAUUAGAUGAGCAAAGAGGUGUAUUCAAGCGAAUAAUGGAAGCAGUAAACAAUCAACAGGAGGCAUAUUUUUUUGUAUGGAUAUGGUGGCACAGGAAAACCUACAUGUGGAGAACUCUAGCUCUCUACAUAAGAUCAAAGAAACAAAUUUGUUAUAACUGUUGCUUCAUCGGGACAUAGCUUCACUACUACUUCUAAGGUCGAACGACUCAUUCAAUUUCAAGAUUCCAAUACCUACAAUGGAGUCUUCUACAUGUAAUAUCAACAAAAGGUCGUGACUGCCAGAGCUACUAAAAUGGCAAAGUUGAUAAUUUGGGAUGAAGCCAAUGUCACACAGAUUUGUUUUGAAGCGUUUUGAUAAAACCCUUAAGACAUAAUGGAGCGUUCCAAUUGUUUCUGACAAAUUUUAGAGGGAAAGUAAUUGUAUUUUGGUGGAGAUUUUCGGCCAAUAUACAGUUGUACCAAGGGCAGCCAUUCAGAUAUAAUACAUCUACAAUCAAAAUUCAUCAUACAUCUGGGAUCAUUGUGUGUUCUGAAGCUUACAAAAGAACAUGCGACUCCAACAAGCCGGCAAUACUUCAAGUACAUCUGAAUUAGAAUGUUUUGUAAUUGGAUAUUAAAAGUUGCGAUGGGAAAUUGAAGCAACCUACACGAUGGUUACACCGAUAUCCUAUUCCAAAUGAUUUCUUAAUUUCUAACUAUGAUGAUCCACUAGAAGCCAUGUUAGUGAAACAUAUCCGAAUUUUCUUACAAUUACAAGAAUCCAGAAUUUUUGCAAUCAAGAGCUAUAUUGAAGGAACAAUUGAAGCGGUUGACAUCAUAAAUCCAAUACGUUUUGGAUUCAUACCAGGUAUGCGUUAUCCAUUGUAAACAUAUUUAUAGAUACAUUCAUAUAUUUAUAAUGUACUAAAUAGAUUUAUAAUAUAAAUUUCAAAAAAUUUUGCCAAAGGUGAAGAAAGGAAUAUUAGUCAGAUUCUGUAGACACUUUUGACGGUGAAGGAAAUGAAGCUUUUGAUGUCUUUGACCCGGAAUUUUUGAAUACACUACAACUUCCGGUCUACCUAAACCAUAAGAUAAAUUGAAGAUGGGACCCUAUUAUGUUGCUUUGAAACAUUGAUCAACCGUGAAGGUCUCUGCAAUGGAACAAGACUUAUAGUUACAAGAUGACAACCACGUUAUCGCGGCAAAGAUUAUAUCUGGAAAGAAUAUUGGAGGGUUAUCUAUAUUCCAAGAAUGGAUAUGACUCAACACACAUCUCCGUGGCCAUUCAAAAUGACUAGAAGGCAAUUUCCAUAACUAUAUGUUAUGCUAUGACAAUUAACAAAUCUCAAGGUCAGUCAUUGGAUUAUGUUGGAUUGUAUUUGCCUAGAAGUGUAUUUAGUCAUGGUCAACUAAUAUGUUGCAAUAUCAAGGGUCAAAAGCAAAAAAGGCUUAAGAUAUUAACCAUGACAAGGAUAACCAUCCAUUGAAUUCUACAACAAACGUCGUGUUCAAAGAAGUUUUUGAAACCUUAUAGAACGUAAGUUUUCAUUAGUUAUAUUAUAUCAAAAAUGUCGUUGUUUAUUAUUAGAAUUGUAUUGAAUGAGUUCUAUAAUAUACAUUAUGUUUAACAUUGUUUAUAUGGAUGUAAUGUUUUUUACGGUAAUGAUCAUCACUUCCUAAAGGUUGCGGGCAGGUUUGUAUAAACCCAGUUUUUAAGGACCAAAAGAAUGUACGAAGUUAAAUCUUUUUUGUGUGACUUAUUUCUCACAAUUUUAACUAAAAUUGUGAACCUUUUGUUUCACAUAUCUUUUGUUGCAUUAAACCUACUGUAUCAAUUGCAAUUAAUUUCACACAUUUGGUAGUAUUCAUUACUAUAUUUUAAAACAAUGAGGUUCUGGUAUUUCUUUACAUGGUUUAUGUUUUUGGUUAAAUAAUCAUUUAUUAUGAAGGUUAAUUUGCGCUUUUAUACCUCAAUUAGUACAGAUUGGAAAAUUUCAUCCAUUACUAAAUAAUAUAUUUUUUAUUUCUAUGUCCAAAAUCUCAAUGAUAAAUGGAAUGUUUAUUCAUAACAUUAACAAUAGAAUGUUUAUUAUAUAUCAAUAUACCAUAAAAUUGUAAAAAUUUUUGUAUUAUAUUUUUUGAUUAUUUCCUUAAUAUAGUAUCAAAAAAUUAAAGCAAAUUAUAUUACUAUAAAUUAAUAAUGUUUUACUUUAUUAUGUCCCAAACUGGAAAAAGUUAUUGUGAAAUUUUUGAACCCAUUUAUUGAUCAUUUAACAUCCAUUACAUUAAAAAAACUCUUAUGCCAAUAAAUUUGUGUACGUUGAUCCAACUAUAUAUAUAUAUAUAUAUAUAUAUAAUAUAUAUAUAAUAUAUAUUAUAUAUAUAUAUAUAUAUAUAUAUAUAUAUAUAUAUAUAUAUAUAUAUAACAAAAAAUAUAUAAUUUUAUAUUUUAAUUUUUUUAAAAUAAAUUAUUGCACUUGCGCAACCCGUGCGAACGCACGGGUCCUUUACUAGUUAAUUUUCAUAUUGAGAAAACUUAGUUACAAUUCUAUAUUUUCUCUCUCUCUCUCUCUCUCUCUCUCUCUCUCUCUCUCUCUUCAUAUUCUUCAAGCUUCUUAUGCAUCAAUGUAGGUGUAACUCUAAUAAUUGAUAUUCAGGACUCCGACUCGAUUCAUAGAGAAACACGAGUGUAGUGAGGUGGGUGAUUGAUUUCGGUUCUAAAAUUCACGUUGAAUUAAAGUUCAAAAUCGAAGAGAAUCACAGAUCUUGAUUCUUAUGGUUUGGGACACAUGAGUAUUGGUGAGAACUGAGUGAUUUUCACAAGAACAAAGAUGAACGGAGGAAACAGUAGCUUAAACACUAAGCUUUCAGUAUUUGACGAAGAAAACUAGAAUCAGUGAUCGAUUCAGAUGCAUGUGUUGUUUGGAGCUCAAGAUGUUCUUGAUCUCGUCAAUGACGGUUACACGUCGGUUGCAAAAAAUGCAACAGAAGCGCAUACAUUUGCGCAACGAGAAAUGAGGAAGAAUGAUCAAAAUGAGUUAUUAUAUAUGUAUCAGUGUAUGGAUACGAAGGUGUUUGAGAAAAAUGUUGAUUCGACGACGACGAAGGCGACAUGGGAUACACUAGUGCGGUGUUUUGGUGGUGACAUAUCAGUAAAGAAGGUCAAACUUCUAUUCCUAUGUAAGCAAUAUGAUAAUCUCAGUAUGAAGAACAAUGAGAAUAUACCUGAUUACAUCUAUAGAGUAAUUAUGGUCACUAAUGAGAUGAAGUCUUGUGGAGAAGUGCUCUUUGAACAAGUAAUCAUUGAAAAGGCACUGAUAUCACUUACUCCUUGGUUUGAUUACAUAGUUGUAGCCAUAUAAAUAUAUAAAGAUACCAGCACCAUGAGAAUUGAAGAGCUUCAGAGUAGUUUAGAGGCACAAGAAUUGCGUAUGACUGAAAGAAACUAUGAACAGGAGUUAGAACAAACUCCGAAAGCUCAGACUCUAAAAGCUUCUUCUAGCAAGAAGAACCAGAUGUAAGCAUGGUUAGAGAACAAGAAGAAGCAUGGUGGUGGUGUUCAAAAGUCAAAACUCUCCAAUUCUGAUAAGAAACAUCAGAAUGUUCAAAAAGGAAAUGAGAAGUUUGACAAGAGAAAGAUUCAAUUCUAUAGUUGUAACAAGUUUGGCCAUUUUGCUGCUGAUUGUUGGCCAAACAAGGUUAGCAAGGGUGGAGAAACCAACAUAGACAUAGAAGAUUCUGAUGAUGAACCUGUGUUACUGAUGGCAUCUGCGAAUGUAGGUGGAUCAAUGGUAGAGUGGUGGUAUAUGGACAUUGGCUUCUCAAAUCACCUAACUAGAAACAAGCAAUGGCUAGUUGAUUUUGACUAUGGUAAGAGAACAAAGAUCAUAUGUGCUAAUGGUGAGUAUCUAAAUGCUAAAGGAAUGAGUAAUGUCAGGAUUAAGUUGAGCAAUUCCCAAACUGUAUUGAUCAAUGAUGUAUGGUAUGUUCCUGGCAUGAAUAGUAACCUUAUGAGUGUAGGUCAUCUAAUUGAAAAAGGUUUCUCAGUAACCAUAAAGGAUAAUCUCUUGGAGUUGUAUGACAAUAAUCAAAAGUUGAUUAUGCAGUAUGAAUUGGGAAGAAGCAGUACAUUCAAGGUGAAUGUUGCAACAACAGACACUCAAUGACUUAGUGCAAGAAGUGCAAAAGGGGAAAGUGAGUUGUGGCACAAGAGAUUAGGGCAUCUGAACUACAGAAGCUUAAGGCAUACGAGUUCAAAGAAUCUGGCUCAUGGAAUUCCUAAAAUUGUAGCACUAGCAAAAUCAUGUGAUAUAUGCAUGAGAGAAAAGCCACCAAGAUUGCCAUUCUCAUAAAAAAUGCCUCCAAUAGAAAUCCAUGCUUUGUGUGUGGUGCAUUCUGAUGUAUGUGGUCCAUUUGAGGUACCUUCACUUGGAGGUAACAAGUAUUUUGUGUCAUUUGUGGAUGAAUUCAGAAGAAUGACAUGGGUAGCACUCAUUAAGUUUAAAUGUGAGGUGUUUGAUGAGUUUCGGAAGUUCAAAGUGAAGGUUGAAAAUCAAAGUGGGAAAAGGUUGAAGAUCCUUAGAACUGAUGGUGAAGGUGAUUUCAACUCAACAGAGUUCAAGAAGUUCUGUGGGGAACAUGGUAUUGAGCAUGAUGUGGAUGCUCUAUACACUUAACAACAUAAUGGUCUUACUGAAAGGAGAAAUAAAACUCUACUUGACAUGACAAGGAGCACGCUGAAGAAGAAGAAUUUGCCUAAGCAAUCAUGGGGUGAAUCGAUUGCUACUUCAGUAUAUGUGCUUAACAAAUGUCCAACAAAGAAGUUAAAGGAAGUAGUUCUUAUUGAGAAGUGGACUUGAAGAAAGCAAAAUGUCAUCCAUUUCAAGGUAUUUGGUUCAGUAUGUUAUAAACAUAUACUAGAUGCUACUAGAAGGAAAUUAGAUGACAUAACCAAGGUCAUUUGCUUAUAGGUUACCAUAGUACAUAUGCUUAUAAGCUCUAUUGUAUAGUCACCAACAAAGUUGAAGUCGGCAGAGAUGUCAUAGUGAAAGAAUCAGAAAAAUGGGAUUAGAUCAAGUCUCAAUCCAACUCUGCUGCAGUAUCAACACUAGAGUCUGAUUCUUCCUCUGAAGGAGAUUCUGCCUCUGAAGGUAAUUUUAACUCUAAAGAAUAGUCUGAAUCUGAAGAUGACUCUAACUCUGAAAGUGAGUCUGGCUCUGAAGACGACUUUGACUCUGAUGGUGAGUCUGACUCUGAAGGUGAUCCAUCCUUUGAAGGUGGAGCUUUUGAAGGUGGUCUAGCCUCUGAAGGUAAAACUUCUGAAGGUGGUCCUGCUUCUGAAGGUUUUUAGAGACCGCAUAGAGUUAGCCAGGUACCAAAGAGACUUGUAGAUUUUGAGUUUCUGUAAGAUACUGGGAUUAAUUCUGAAUGAAAAGUCAUACAGAGUGCCAUGAUGGUGGACUAUGAACCUGUCAGUAUUAAUGAGUCUCUCAAGAAGAAGAUGGGGGUGAACACCAUGAAGAAAUAAAUGAGGCCAUUGAAAGAAACAAGACAUGGGAAUUGACUAUUCUACCUCAAAACAAGAAAUUCGUCCAUGUGAGAUGGGUUUUCAAGAUAAAACUAAAGCCAAAUGGUUCAUUUGCUAAGCAUAAAGCAAGGUUAUAAGCUAGAGGAUUACUAUAAAAGUCUGGUUUAGACUACUUUGAAGUGUUUGUACAUGUAGCCAGACAUGAAACCAUAAGGUUGGUUAUUGCUAUAACUGCAAAUAGGAAUUUUCCUCUAAUGCAUUUAGAUGUAAAUUUAUCUUUUCUAAAUGGUCAAUUGCAAGAAGAAUUUUAUGUGUUACAACCUCAUGGAUUUGUGAAAGAGAACAAAUAAGGGUUGGUGUACAAGCUGCAUAAAGCCUUGUACAGACUUAAACAAGCUCCAAUAGCUUUAAAUCUAAAGAUUGAUUCAUUUUUCAAGGAUCUUGGAUUCGAGAAGUGUGAAACGGAAUAUGGUGUGUAUGUGCAACAUACUUGUGAUGGCAAUGUGAUUCUGGUGUGUCUUUAUGUGGAUGAUAUGCUUCUAACAGGGAGUUGUACUUCUGAGAUAAACAAGUUCAAGAAGGUGCUGAUGAAUGCAUUUGAUAUGACUGGCCUUGGAAAUAUGGUAUAUUUUCUAGGGAUGGAGACUUUACGUUAUGAGAAUGGAAUUAUUAUGCACCAACUGAAGUAUGAACUUGAAUUGCUGAAGAGAUUUGAGCUGAUGAAUUGUAAGUCAGUAGUCAUACCUGUUGAGAUAAAUCAUAAUCUGGACUAUGAUUAUGAUGGAGAGGAUGUAUAUGCUACAACCUUCAAACAAUUGGUUGGUUGUCUGAGAUAUAUGUGUAACACCAGGCCUGACAUCUAUUAUGAAGUUGGAAUUGUGAGUAGGUUUAUGAGUAAACUAAAAUGAAAUUUUGUUUUCAUCUGGAGUGUUAGAUGAUACUGAGAUGAUAUAUUAUUCAAACUCUGAAUGGUGUGGAGACAGAGUUGACAAAAAAAACACUACAUGAUACUUGUGUAAUUACUUGGGAGACGCUAUUUCUUGGUGUUCCAAGAAGCAACCAAUGGUUGCAUUGCCAACUUGUGAAGUUGAAUACAUAGUUGGUGCUUUGUCAGCUUGUCAAGCUGUUUGGCUAAUGAAUUUGCUGUAGGAACUGAAAUUCAAGGUGACCAAAUCAGACAAGAUGAUGAUAGACAACAAAUCUUCCAUAAGACUUGCAAAGAACUCAAUGUUGCAUGGGAGAAGCAAACAUAUAGAAACAAAGUUCUAUUUUCUGUGCAAUCAAGUUCAAAAUGGAAUGCUUGAAGUUGUUCAUCGUAACACUUAGAAGAAACUUGCAAAUGUGAUGACCAAGACAAUCAAGACUAAACACUUCAUCAAUUUGAGGGAUGUAAUUGAUGUUGUUGACUUUAACUUGAAUAUGAAAUUAGAGAUGUUGUUGACUUUAAUUGAUGUUGUUGACUUUAACUUGAAUAUGAAACACGCACACGCAUCCGCACCCGCGCGCACACACACACACACGCACACACGCACGCGCACCCGCACACCCACACCCCUGCACCCCCUACACGCGCACACACACACACACACACACACACGCACACGCACACGUGCACCCGCACACCCACACCCCCGCACCCCCCACACAUCUUCAUCUUCAUCUUCAUCUUCUUCAAACUUCUUGUGCAUCAAUGAAAGUGUAACUCCAACACUUUUAAGACUCAAAUUUUCAUCACUAAACCAAUUUCUAAAAAUUAUUAAUAAAAUAUAUUUAUUAUUCUCUAUAAUUUUAUUUCUAAAAAGAAUUUAUUUUUUAAAUACAUUAAAUAAUCCAUAUAUUUUUAAAAUUAAUUAUUUUAAUCGAGCCAAACGCUUUAUUUUAACGUAUUAGAAUGCUAGAAUGUCUUGUUCGAUUUAUUUGGUGAUGUUACGAAUUAUUGGGAUUUAUUAGAAUUUUUGUUUAAUUAAUUUAAUUAGAAAAACAAGAAAAAUUAGACAUUAGGAGGAAAAUAACAAUUUAAAAGAAUUAGUGGGGUAAGAAGAGAAUUAACCAAAGUUGAGGGAGUUGUGGUGAUAUUUAAAUUAAAUAGAAAUAUUGGAUUUUAUUUAGUUUAAAUAGAAAAAGUGGAGAGAAGAAUAAGUUUGUGUGUGAUGUACGUAAAAAACUUAGGAAUUAGGACUUUUGGAGUGUGAAUAACAAACCUAGAGGGAGAACUCCAUUAUUGAAAAUUCAACCUUUUGCUGCAAAACUCAUAUAGUGGGGGAUUAUUCUUCAAUGGGUGUAUCUUUCUUAAAGGAUAGAAGGUAUCCUAACCCUCUUCCUCCAUUUUUGAAGCUUUUAAUCCAUGAAAUGGUUGUACAUACCUCUUUGUAUUAACAUGUUUCGAUUUUGUUUUAUGUUGUAAUUACAUAUUGAAAUUCGUAUGCAAUUGUAUGAGCAAAAUUGAAUUGGUGUUGUUUAUAUUUUAUGCUUUGGUGAUGAUGAAUAUAAUGUUGAAAUUGCAUGAUAAAUUGGUGUUGAUGUGUAAUUGGUAUUGAUUUAGUGUAAUUUAUAUUUAAUAUAACAUGGGUGAUGUGUUUCUGUUCGAUUCAGGUGGUUGGGGUUGAAAUUAGAGCUUUUUAAGUGCUCCAAUGGCAGAUUUGUGGAUUCUGCAAUCUGCAAAAUAGGGACGCACGUCACCGGUGUGACAGGUUGACCGUCAUGCGUAUGGGAAAGCCGACGGGUGAUGACAUGGUGAUCGUCAUGACCCCCGAGACGGGCUUCUUGCCUAAGCGUCACCAUGGUGACGGGGUUGUGAGAAAGGGAUGGUGACGGGUGGGGCGAUGACCAUCAGCCUGGUGAUGGACUGACCGACAGUCCUUGGAGUUGACUGAUUCUGAGCGGUUGACUAGAUUUUUUGAGUAGAUUCCAAUGGCGGUGACUGUUUAAUGUUGUAAGGAUUAAACAAAUUGAAGAUUGUUUGAUGGAUUGGUUUUUUAUUUAGGUCAAAAUGGUCAUUCAACCAUUGAAUUAGGUAUGUCUUUUCGAAGAAUUGAUCCCAUCAAAUGAUAUUGGUGACCUUGGUCGAAUUUUUAAGAAGUUAGUUAAAGACCAUGGAUUUGUUAGUUUUGGACUUAGUGAGAUUCCAAGUUUUCAAUAUGAUGUUACUCUCCAUGCAGUCGAAUGAAGCAUAGGUGGAUAAGAUCAGACAUUUAUUUCAGAACACGUGGAAUCCUGUCGGGAACGAAGAUUGCAUGGAGAUGAAGACGUGGCGUAAUUCGCUGAGUUGACCGUUGUAGACGAUUAUGAUAGGACUAGUAUGUAAGUAGUGUUCACUUAUAGUUUUAGGGGUCCACAAUUUCACACAAAUUCUACAAACUCGAAGUAUCCAAGUGUUUAGUGAGAAAAUAAUGAUUUCUGAAAAUGUAUGUAUUUAUGUUCCACUUUAUGAAUUGAACUCUUUACUUUCAAGUUAUUUACUGAUUUCAAAGUUAUUUCCAAGUUUCUUUUAUUUUUGACUUUAAUGUCAAAAUUGUUUCAAAAUCAUAAUUUUUGCACAAUCUAUCCUGGUAUUUUUUUGAGUUUAUUCCCUUAAGUGAACUAAAACUUGUAUUUGUUUACCAAAUUUCCCAGUAAACAAAUUAGCACGUCCAAUGGGAUCCUUUGUGGGAAAAUUUACACUUUUUUCUUUAAAAAUUGCAUAAUUUCUUCAUUUAUGAAACUUCUCAAAUUUGUGAGUGUGCAUGAGAUUGAGGAGUGGUAGGAUAACCAAAAAAGACGUUAGAAAACCAACCAUGAGAUAUGUUAGGAGAAUGGUGGAUCCCAUAAAUAAUAACAACGGAGAACAACCGUCCAAUAACAUGGGGGAAGGCACAAUCGCUGCAAAUUUGACUGAAGCAAUUCCCUCCAUAUCCAGCACGACAGUCACACUGUCGACUGUGCAAGCAAGGGUAGUAUUCUCCCCAUCAAUAACACAGAGUCACCCUAUGACUCCUAGGCCAACUAUGGCAAGUGACUUCAGGCCUUUUACCACAAGUUUCAUAAUGCUUAUGUAUGGUCGUGAACAACCUUAUGGCAUGCUAACAUCAAUGAUGGGAGGCUUUCAUACAAAUGCUUCAACAUUUGCUAACAACACGGUGACUUCAUAUUCUCCAAUAUUGGCAUUAGGGUCGGCUAUAGGAAAUCUUGGUUGAACCAUGCAGCCCCAUUGGGUAUGGGAUUUGAUUCCCAAGCGAUGCCGACUUUCACCAUAAGUUAUGUGAGGGCGAUGAGAUAAUAAAUGGAUGAAAGUAACCAUGGGAUGGUUAACUUGCGUACCCGAAAAAUGAGUACUAUAUUUAACCCUUUGAUUCAAAAUACGAAUUAUAGUUACCAAUAAUUUGAGACUCAAAUGACUCGAAUUGCCGAUUUCUUUGGCGCCCCUCAGGCGCAGGUUCGACCAAUUGUACAACCAUAGGUGGCUAGGCCGAUACAAAACGAGGGAAUAAUUCUUGAACAAAACACAGUUAAUCAGGGCCAAAAAUUUGUGCCCCAUGUAGUCAAACAACUAAGGCCUAGGGAAGCUGGUCACUCGCUAGUUUUAGUCGUUAAUCAAAAUCAGGACGCCGACCAAGUGGUCCAUCAAGUCCGACAAGAAAAUCUGUUAGGAGAGAAUAAUCUUGCAACCAUGGUCGAAAAAAUAAUGGCGCAAAAUGGUUUGAAUUUAGGCAUGCAAAGGACAAAUUAUACAUCCCCAUUGUCGGAGUAUGUAUUACAAACAGAACUCCCAAGGGGUUGGAAAGUCCCUAAGUUCACCAAAUUUGUUGGUGAUACUAAUGAAUCUACAGUGGAACAUAUCACUUGAUAUUUGAUUGAAGCGGGGGAUAUAGCGAAUAACUAUAAUUUAAGGAUGAGAUAUUUCCCUACUUCUUUUAAAAAAAAUGUGUUUACAUGGUUUACAACGCUCCCUGCGCAUUCCAUUAAUGAUUGGACUCGUUUAGAAAGAUUGUUCCAUGAACAAUUUUUAUGGGUCCGUCUAAAAUCAGCCUGAAAGAGUUGUUAAGCAUGAAGAAAAAGUUCACUGAAUCGAUUGAUGAUUACCUAAAUAGGAUCCAACUUUGGAAAGUAGGGUUCUUUACCCAAUGUAAGACCCCAAUUUUGACCCUAAGAUCGCUCAUGCCAUCUCAUCAUAUGCAUUGGCAUUGGGAUCAUACCUUGGCAUUCUCCUUACCUUCAUUCAUUGGGUUUGCAUUGGGAGAGAUCACCAAACACAUUUGAUUGUAUCAUAAUUCAUUUUUAUUUAUUUUACUAACCAAAAUACCAAAAAUAUAUCAAUUUAUAGUUUGUUACUUUUGUAGGUAGUGUGUAUGCUCACCUAUGCUCCAUCAAGCUCAUAUCUAGGAUUUAAGACCCUCAGUGUAAGAAGCUCAAUCAAGAAAUGGUUCAUGUUGACUCUAAGUAUCAUAUAUGGAUCCCCAUGUUCUUCACAUGUUAUUUUGAUCAAGAAAUCAUCAAGAGUUUGGAGUUUGUUUGCCUUGGAAACCCUAAUUCAUCUGGGUAUCUUAUAUGACUUCUUCAACAAGUUUCUUCAACAAUUAAUCAAAUAUCUAAAAGUAUACUUCAUAGUACAUCAUAUUAUGCAUAUAUGAUCCUCCAUGAGUCCCAAAAGUCAAGAGAAUAUUAAGCUAGAAAGUUGGUUCAUGGUGGUUGACUAGAGAAAGUCAACUAGUCAAAACUAGGGUUCCUUAGACCCUAUCUCCUACAAUGUUUGUCAUAUGAAAAUGAUUCCAAGCGAAAAGUUACUCUAAAUUACAUUCCAAACAAAUUUCAUGUUAAGGUCAAGAUCUAGUUUUUCUUGGAAAGUCAUUUUGUAUGGUGAAAGAUUAUAGGUCAUUUUGUCUGAACCCUAGUUUGGAGGUCAACUUCCCAAGACCAUAACUUGCUCAUUUGUUAUGAUAUGAAAUCCAUUAAAGUUUCAUGAUAAAAUUCAAGAUGUAUACUUCAAAUUUUAUGUUUGGGUUAAGUUCAAAUUCAACUUGAAAAUGCAUGUGCCAAGAGGAAACAUUAUAGGUCAUUUUGGACCAUUACCAUUGAACAAGUGAUUUUCCUCAACUUCUAAAAUGCAUAAAUCCUUCAUUCCAAAUCCAAUUAAGGUCAAAUUUGUGACAAAUCUGAAGAGGUUUGAAAGAGAUACAACUUUGAUGAAGGAACUUUUCUCAUUUGAAGUCCAUAGAAAAAAGUUAUUUAAGGUGGAAGAAGUGAACAUUUGACUUGGGACUUAUAAAUUUUUUAAAUAUGUUUGAUUUCCCAAACUUCCACCUCAAAGUUAAUCAUGAUCCAAGCUUCAAAUAAAAAAGUGUUCAACAUAGAAGUUGUUCCCCUUGAUCUCACCUUUCUAAAGAGUCCAAUAUCAUCUCAUUUGGAUCAAAAUUGAGGGACUUACACAUGGCUUCAUUAUGGGAAGUGUGUUUGGCAAGAUUGGAUUUCAAAUGAUCAAAUUCUUUUGCAUGCUUCCACAUGAUGGAUUCAGUACAAUUUGAACACGAAUUGGAAGUGGAUUGCAUUAUUCCUAAGGCCCAAAUCAUUGGCCAUGCAUCCAUGCAAGGAGGUUUCUAAAAUUGGCCAAAUUUCAAGUGGUGCAAAUAUCAAGUGCAUUGCCUAUUUAAACAAGCUUAAGGCUUCAGAUUCAUCAUCGACACCUUACCCAAGCUUUGCUAGACCAAUUCAAACCCUCAUUGCCAUAGAAUUUCUAAAGAUUUCUCUUGAAAUCGAGCUUGAAUUUCAUCUUCUGUUUGGAAGUUCAAACUCCAGAAAUUCAAUUCCCUUUUCAUCUCAAUUGACUUCUGCAAGAGGAAGAGAAAGCAAUCAAAUCCAGAUCAAGAUCAAGUGGAAUUAGAUCAACUCGAAGGCGAUUUUUCAGAAACUUCUUCUCUUCGAUUCUCCCUCAAUUCUUCACCAUUCUUUGUGAUUUUUGGUUGCCUGAAGUCCUAUCAAUGUAGGCAAGAAGAUUGAGUUACUUUGAGGUCAAAUCGAAGCAACUCAAUUCAUGAUCCUCAAAAUUCAAAUCCCUGUAUCUUUUUAUAUACUUUGAAUUGGACAAAAUUGAGGCCAAAUUUGAGCUCCUGGGUAUUUUUUCUUUAAAUCCAUGUCUUGCUUUUUCAUUUUGGUGAUGGUUGAUGGUGGACCAGUCCGGUGAGGUCCACCGGAGAAGAAGACCGGAGCUCUGGCUCCGGUGAUGUGUUGUCAUGCAUCUCAACCAUAGGAUCCAAUUUAAAUGUUUUAAUCUCAUGUGUUGCUUUUGAUUACCAAGCUUAUACCGCGUUGACUGCAGUGCAUCAUGGAACGCGCGUUUAUCACCAUCUGAUCUGCCACCUCAAUUAAUGAGGGGGAUCAAAUGGUUCUCUCUUUUUUUUCUGAUUAUUUUAUUUAAUUUCUUAUUUUUAAUUAAUUCAUAUUAAUUUCAUUAUUGAUCCAAAAAAAUAUGGGACUUUCAUAAAAAAAAUUCAAAUAUUUCCCUCUUUCAUUUUCUGAAUUAAAAUUAUUUUUUGGAUUAAUAUUGAUAUAUUUUUUUAUGAUUUAAUUGUUUUUGUGCAUGUUUUUAAUUGUUUCAAAAUACUUAUGACUUUUCAAAAAUUAAGAUUUUUUUUUUCUAAGGUCCUUUGACCUUCAUUGACCUAGGAUAAAUCUCCUUGCCAUUUAUUUGGUGUUUUGAAGAGAUUUUAGGUUUUUGAUCAAACAUAAUUCAAUUUGAAUGCAUUUUAAUUUGAUUUUUAAUUGAUUAAUUGUGUAGAAAUUAUGUUAAGCCAUUUUUAUUGACUUGUGAAGUUUGACUAUGUGUUUGGGCCUUGGUCAAGGUUGAUUUGACUUUUGUUGGAUUAAAAUCAUUGGAUUUAGGGGAUUGAUGAAAUGUACAUUUCAUCUCAAGUUUGACUAUGUGUUUGGGCCUUGGUCAAGGUUGAUUUGACUUUUGUUGGAUUAAAAUCAUUGGAUUUAGGGGAUUGAUGAAAUGUACAUUUCAUCUCCCAAAAUGAAUGAAUGAUUUUAAUUUAACAAAAUUCCUCCCAUGACCAAUUUGUGUUUGUCUCAUUUCCCCCCCCUCUUCAUCUUCAAUCCCAUUCUAUCUAAUCCUUCUCAUUGACCAAUGAAGUCUCAAUAUCCUAAGGCUAAUUGGUUCAUCAAUAACUUUGUGUUAGAUGAACAAAUACAAGUAUGGAUGAGAUUAGGUCCAUCCUUUAAUCAUUUUCUUUUUGAGUGUGGUAUGUUUUAGAAGUAUGGUUUAUUAUACCAUAUCUCUAACAUGCAUUAGCACCUAAAUUUCCAUUGCCCGACUGUAAGACCCCAAUUUUGACCCUAAGAUCCCUCAUGUUACACUCAUCAUAUGCAUUAGCAUUGGGAUCAUACCUUGGCAUCCUCCUUACCCCUCUUCCAUUAGGUUUAUUUUGGGAGAGAUCACCAAGCACUAUGUGAUUGUAUCAUACUUGUUAUUUUAUCAUUCACUAACCAAAAUACCAAAAAUAUGUCUUUGCAUUUGUCUAACUCUUUUGUAGGUAGGGUACAUGAUCACCAUUGAUCUAUCAAGUUCACAUCUAGGGUUUAAGACCCUCAUUUCUAAAAGCUCAACCAAGAAAUGAUCCACAAUGGUUCUAGGAAUAAUAUAUGAGUCCCAAUUAUCUCUACAUGUUAUUUUGAUCAAGAAAUCUUCAAGAGUUUGGAGUUGGUUUGCCUUGGAAGCCCUAGUUUAUCUGGGUAUCUUGAUUAACUUCUUCAAUAAGCUUAAUCACCCAUUGAUCAAAUACUUCAAAGGGCACUUACAAUUUCAUAAUCUUAUGCAUAUAUGAUCUCCCAUGAGCCUAAAAAGUCAAGAGAAUUGCAAGUUAGCAAGUUGGUUGGUGGUAGUUGGCCAGAUGAAUUCAUCUGAUCAAAACUGGGUCUCCCUAGACCCUAUCUCCUACAAUUUUCAUCAUAUGAAAAUUAUUCCAAGAUAAAAGUUACUCUAAAUGACAUUCCAAACAACUUUCAUGUUGAGGUCUAGAGCUAGUUUUUCUUGGAAAGUCAUUUUUUAUGUUGAAACAUUAUAGGUCAUUUUGUCUAAACCUUAAUUUGGAGGUCAACUUCCCAAGGCCAUAACUUGCUCAAUUUUUAUGAGAUUAAAGAUUUCCAAGUUUCACAAUCAAAUUCAAGGUGUCUACUUCAACUUUGAUGUUUGGAGUGAGAGAUAAAUCAACUUUUAUGAGCAUGUGAUAUGAGGAUGCAUUAUAAGUCAUUUUAGACCAAUACCAUUGAGCAAGUGAUUUUCCUUAACUUAAAAAAUGCAUAACUCAUUCAUCCCAAAUUCAAAUGAUGUCACAUUGGUGACAAUUUUGAAGAUUUUUGAAAGAGAUACAACUUUUAUGAAGACACUUUUCUCAUUUGGAGCUCACAUAAAAAGUUAGCCAAGGUGGAAUAAUUGAACAUAUGGCUUAACACUUAGAAAAUAUUUUGACAUGUUAAAAUUUCCAAACUUCAACCUCAAAAUUCACCAUGAUACAAGUUACAAAUCGAAAAGUGUUCAACAUAAGAGUUGUUCCUCUUGAUCUAACCUUUCCAAAGAGUCCAAAUUCAUUCAUUUGGGACAAAGUUUGAGGGGUCUGCGCAUGGCUUGAACAGGGUUGUAUCAGUUGGCAAGAAUCAUGCUUCAAACAUCCAAACAUCUUUGCCUUGCAUUGCAAUCUUCAUUCAGACUUUAUUUCAUUUGAUUGUGGAUCUAAUUGAGAUGCUUCACGGGCAUGUACUUUCCCAUGCACGCGUGCCAUUCACAUUGCCAAAUUUGGAAGCAUAAUAACAUUUACCAUUUUCUAUAAAUAAAGGUCCAAUGCUUCAGUUUGAAGGGCCUUGCACGCCAACUUUGCCUCCAACCGUUGAAACCCUCACAAUUCAAAGGAAAACCUGAUAAAUUUUACUUGAAAUUUGAGUUUGAAUCUCACCUUUUGGAGAUUCAAAAACUCCAGGAUCCAAAGCUUUGCACCAUUACCAAUCUACUUCUGUAAGCUCCAUAAACAAGAUCAAGCACGAUUUGAAGCAAAAGAGAUCCAAUUCCGCACAACAUUGAAGGUAUUUUUCCAUAUCUUUCUUCUCUUCGUUUCUCUCUCAAUUCUCAUCAAUUCUCUUGGAUCUUUGGUUGUCUGAAGUCCUACCAAUGUAGGAAAAAAGAUUGAGUUGCUUUGAGGUCAAAUCGAAGCAACUCAGUUCAUACACCUCAAAAUUCAACUUCAUGUAUCUCUUAAUAUACUUGGAGUUAGGUUAAAUUGAGGUGAUAUUCGUGAUCUACUCCAUUUUUUCUUUAAGAUCAUAUCCUCUUUUUUCAUUUAUGUUAUAGCGAUGAAAGAACCAGUCCGACCAGGGUCAUCAGAGAAGAUGAUCGACACUUGGCUCUGACGAUGCGCUGGAUGUGUUCUGAGCCAUUGGAUUGAUUCAAAAUGUUUUAAUCAUGAACGUUGCUUGUGAUGACUGUAAGACCCCAAUUUUGUCCCUAAGAUCCCUCAUGGCAUCAUAUCAUAACAUUGCAUUGCCUCAAGGAUCAUUGGACACCUUGCUUCCUUCCCUGUGGGUGGGAUCUUUCUUGAGAUUAGUUCUUGAUCACCAAGAAUUGCUUGCAUUUGUGUAUCAUUGCUUUUCUUUUAAUCACUAACCAAAAAUGUACAAAAAUAUGUCAUCUAACAUUUGUCUUGCAGCUUAAGCAAUCAACAGGUCAAGGCAAUUCAAGUGAAUCCUUUGUGCAAGAGAUGAGGGUUCCAUUGAGAUAUGGAUCAUGUGAUCAUUAUUUUGAGCUUAUAUGAGCUAGAGGUUCAUUGUGAAGCAAAUUCCCCAGGUGGUUGAGGCCCAAGUUCAUCAGAACAUUUUCAGGUCAUCUAAAGGCCUAUGCCAGUCAACUGAAAGUCAAUUGUGAUUUUUUGAAUUGGGAAAUUGAAUUUCUUCAUCCCAUUCAUGUUCAAACAAGGCUUAUUCAUCAUGUCAAACCUUUAUCUUGAAGAAUUUGAAGACAGUGCAAAAGUUUCCAAAAAUGGAAAGUGACCUAUAAUUUCAAGUUUCCAAAAAUGGAAAGUUUUUGGACCAACUUCAACUCAACUUUCCAACAUCAAAGAAGCUUUAAAUGAAUUUUUGUCCAACAUGAAAGUUGAAGAUCUCUCUCUCCCAUUUCCAAAAAGUCCAAGAUCAUGAGCAUCUGAUGAAUGGUUGUGGAGAUAUGAUCAAAUCAUUGCCAAGUGUGCAUGGAACUUCAAAAGGCCAUAACUUUUGACUCAUAACUCCAAAUUUAGUGCCUCUUUUUGCAUUUUGUUUCUCAUGACAUGUAUUUUCCAAAUCAUUCAUCACAUUGCAUGAAAUUUCAUCAUAUGAUCAUUUGUUCUUUCAUGCCCAUUUUGGAGGGAAAAUGACAAAUUUGAAAUUGGUGCAUUGUAUGAACAAAAUACCCUUGCCAACAUGAGCAUGAGGUGAUUUUAAGUGAACUUGAGCUCCCAUUUGGUACUGUUCACGUAUGCAUUUGCAUGACACCUCCAAUUUCCCAAUUUUGGUCACACACCCCAUUUUCACUAAUCUCAAUUAAACCAUGCUUAAUUUUAAUUAGGAUGUGAUUAAGACUGAGUAUAUAUACCAAAUCCUAACAGAAUUUCUGGAUCUUCACCAUUUUCUAGAUCUAAAUUCUUCUUCCCUCCAAAAUUUUCUCUCAAAUUCCAAAUUCAAUUUUCUUCACAUAAGCUAGUGAUUUUCUUGCACAUUCUUGUUCUCUGAUCUUCAUUAGUGCAGAUCAAGCUUUGGUUUGAAGGAUUCGAGUGGAAAUCAAGCAUACUCCAAGCAAGAACAUGAAGAUGGAAACUGAUUAUUGAGCUCGAUCCAAGCAUCUUCAAGCCUCAAUUUAGUGCAUAAAGCUUCAAGACAUCAUCUCAGGAGUAGAUCUGCAGCUUGCAAGGCCUUGAAUCCAUAGAUUUCAGCAACUGCUCUUCAAGAGGUAGGUUUUUCGAUCCUCUUAAUUGCUGAUUUUAUAUGCAUGAUCUUGUAGUUCUUCUCUUGCUGAUUAUUCUGAUAUAAAAUUCAUGUGAUUUGGAUGAAUAUUAACCGAGUUAUGUGGAUUUAAAGUUUUGUAUCCAAUAAUGUUUUUGAUCGAUUCUCAAGAUUCAUGUUGAAUUAGCCUUAAUUAAUGCUUGAUCUGUGAUGUACGUAAUGAGAGCUUUCUGUUGAUGUAUAUUUUAGUGAAUUCUGCAAAAAAAAUCAUGAGCUUGUUACUUUUCACCACCGUCUCAAGGUAGGAGACGGUGGUUUCCACCGCUGGCCGCCGCGCGCCGCGCCUGUACAGGCGCUAGGGUUUUUGGUUCAGGCUCUGCAUUUGUACUGUAGAAGCGCCAUUCACAUUCAUGUUGUGUGUUCGAUACCAAUCGUGGAUGGUUUUGAUUUUCAAUUAUCGUUUUCACGUAGGCCAAAACGCUGUAGUUUUGAUGACUAGCGCUUGCGUGUGCUACGUUGGCAAUUCCAUUGGCCUAGAUUCCUUGACUGCCUCCACGCAGGCUUUGACCAGUGAGGUGGCUUGCCACAUCAAUAAAUGAAACUACAGCGUUUCAUCAUUCCCUCACUUCGAUUCCAGGCUUUUGCACUUUUGAAUAUUAUUUGUUCAGCGCCUUAUUUUGAAUUGCCACCGAGUUCGAUUCCAGCCUGAGACAUUUUUUUCAAAUUAAUUCAUCAUUUCCUCUUUCCCUCCAUAAUUUCAUGUACAUUUUCCACAUUUUAUUUCAAAUAUUUUCCAACUUCAAAAAUUCAUAUAAAAUUGAAAACACAUCCAAUUAAUUCCCAAUUUUUUGCAAAAUGUUCAUGUGUUUGUCUAUUAUUUUGUGGUGUUUAUUUUUGAUUUUUAUCAUCUCUGGAUUUUUGAUUAUGGACUGGUAAUUGAUCAUACAUGCAUAUGUGACAUUGCUUCAUUCUUUCUAUUGUGAAAUGCUCAAUAAUGAUCCAAUUGCCAUGAAAUUUUGUGUGAUGAUUCCUAACAUGAUGCUUGACCUUUGAGGCUUGAUUGUGAAUUUUUACCAUUUUUCAUUUCUGUUUUUGACACAUAAACUUUUGGUGUGAAAAUGUGUGUCACACAAUUUGAUGUCAUACUUGUGCAUUUUCAUUUCUAGGUCAAAUGAGCUCUUCUGAUUAUAAGUUUUGGCAUGAUGAUUAUGUUUGACAUAUUGUGUGCACAUAGAAAUUUCUAGAAUUGUUUGAGCCAUUUCUGUUUUAAUAUGGAACUUUGAUUCUUAAUGUCCAAUUAUGUGCCUUGAAAUUGCCUUUGUCUUCUCUUGCUCACUACAUGACUUUGCUUGAUGAUUUUGAUUUGGUCCUUUUUAGGAUAUGCUCUUACUUGAUUAAAUGAGCUUUAUGUUGAAUAUUGGUUGCUGUUUUGACCUUUUGAUUUACCUUUGACCCUAGGCUUUGCCCUAGGGGUUUGUACUCACUAUUUGAGUUUUGCCUUUCAGGUUAAAGCAAUAAGUCCUAAUGGAUGAUCUAAUCUCCUUGCUUGAGAUACAAUUUGCUUUGUUUAACUAAUGUUGAUUGUGUUGUAGGUCCUUGGGUGGCUAACUCACUUGAGUUGUUGACUUACUUUGUGUAUAUUGGUUGUCUGACUGUUGACUGUCUGUUUAGUUUGUCUGAAUGAGAAUAUUGACUUGUUUGAUUUUCUUACAUGUACUUUAGUAGCUUUAACUCAUUAUUCGAGUUGCUUUGCUUUGCUUGUGGUCGACAUACCACUUAGGUAACCUCUCUAUUCUCCAUGUAGUCUGGAAGACCUGCUAUCUUUGGCAGGCACCUGUCUGAAGCCCUCCUUAAGAGGCCAUGUUCUUGAUUGUUUAAUUUUGUGCUAAAGACCUCAAUGAGGCAUGGGUUAACAUGAUUCAAGACCCUGCCUAAAGUGAAGAGGGCAUUGGCAGAUAGAAGGGAUGUGCAAUCCAUCCCCUGCUACUCAGUUUGAGUCUUUCAUCUUUGCUCGCACUAUGUGUGCUGAUGCAUUUUUGAAUAUAAACACCAAAAUCUUGUAGUUAUAGAGUCAGUCAUUGUGGGAAUAGAGUUCCUCAUUCUGGACUCCCACACCUUUUUUGAUUCAAGCUCACCCCGGACCAGGGUUAAGAGCUAUGAGGUUUAAUCCUCAAUCUCCUAUUUUCAUCUGCUCACCCUGACGGUCAAUUGCAGUGGUUAAGAGCUGACACCCCUUCCAGUAUUUGGCUUGUUUGUCCAGGUCGAUAUGCACCCUUGACUAAAGCCCAGCCUUGUAAUGAGCCUUUGAUAUGUGUAUAGACGUGUGCUAAUUGAUUGCUUGUUUGCUUACUUGUGCAUCCUUCAUGUUGCUUUUGCAUAUUGUUUGAUCUUGCUUCUUUGCCUAUUUGUUUUAUUUUGAGGAGUCAGAUGUAAGACCAUUAUUGGCAAUCUGUUUCGUUGUCCUUUUGGGGAGCUGGAUUAUAAGACCAUUUAUUGGCACUCCAUUUCCUUUUCUGUUUCUUUUUUGUGAGUCAGGUGUAAGACCAUUGAUUGGCUAUCUAAUUCCUGUUCCUUUUGGAAGAUAGAAGGGAUGUGCAAUCCAUCCCCUGCUACUCAGUUGAGCUUUCAUCAUUUGCUCGCACUAUGUGCUGAUGCAUUUUUGAAUAAACACCCAAAAUCUUGUAAUUAUAGAGUCAGUCAUUGUGGAAUAGAGUUCCUCAUUCUUGGACUCCCACACCUUCUUUUGAUUCAAGCUCACCCCGGCCAGCGGUUAAGAGCUAUGAGGUCUAAUCCUCAUCUCCUAUUUCAUCUGCUCACUCCUGACGGUCAAUGUCAGUGGUUAAGAGCCUACACACCUUCCAGUAUUUGGCUUGUUUGUCAAGGUCAUAUGACCCUUGACUAAAAGCCCAGCCUUGUAUAGCUUUGAUUGUGUAUAGAGUGUGCUAAUUGAUUGCUUGUUUGCUUACUUGGGCACCUUCUGUUGCUUUUGCAUGUUGUUUGCAUCUUGCUUUUGUAUUUGCUAUUUGUUUUUGUUUGAGGGAGCAGAUGUAAGACCUUGAUUGGCAUCUGUUCCUUUGGGGGAGCUGGAUAUAAGACCAUUUAUUUCCUUCCUUUUCUGUUUCUUUUUGUGGAGUCAGGUGUAAGACCAUUGAUUGUGCUAUCUGUUUCCUGUUCCUUUUGGCAGAUAGAAAGGGAUGUGCAAUCCAUCCCCUGCUACAUCAGUUGAGUCUUUCAUCUUGCGUCGCACUAUGUGCUGUGCAUUUUGAAUAACACCAAAAUCUUGUAUAUAGAGUCAGUCAUUGUGGAAUAGAGUUCCUCAUUUCUGGACUCCCACACCUUCUUUUGAUUCAAGCUCACCCCGGCCAGGGUUAAGAGCUAUGAGGUCUAUCCUCAUCUCCUAUUCAUCUGCUCACCCUGACGGUCAAUGUCAGUGGUUAAGAGCCUGACACCCUUCCAGGUAUUUGGCUUGUUUAUCAAGGUCAUUAUGACCUUGACUAAGCCAGCCUUGUAUGAGCCUUUGAUUGUGUAUAGAUGUGCUAAUUGAUUGCUUGUUUGCUUACUUGUGCAUCCUUCAUGUUGCUUUUGCAUUGUUUGCAUCUUGCUUUGCAUUUGCUUAUUUUGUUUUGUUUGGAGUCAGAUGUAAGACCAUUGAUUGGCUAUCUGUUUCCUGUUCCUUUUGGGGAGCUGGAUUAUAAGACCAUUUAUUGCAGUCCAUUUCCUUUUUGUUUCUUUUUUGUGGAGUCAGGUGUAAGACAUUGAUUGGCUAUCUGUUUCCUGUUCUCUUUUGGCAGAUAGAAGGGAUGUGCCAAUCCAUCCCCUGCUACUCAGUUGAGUCUUUUCAUCUUGCUCGCACUAUGGUGCUGAUGCAUUUGAAUAAACACCCAAAAUCUUGUAUAUAGAGUCAGUCAUUGUGGAAUAGAGUUCCUCAUUCUGGACUCCCACACCUUCUUUUGAUUCAAGCUCCCCGGCCAGGGUUAAGAGCUAUGAGGUCUAUCCUCAUCUCCUAUUUCAUCUGCUCACCCUGACGGUCAAUGUCAGUGGUAAGAGCCUGACACCCCUUCCAGUAUUUGGCUUGUUUUGUCAAGGUCAAUAUGACCCCUUGACUAAAGCCCAGCCUUGUAUAGCCUUUUGAUUGUGUAUAGAGUGUGCUAAUUGAUUGCUUGUUUGCUUACUUGUGCAUCCUUCAUGUUGCUUUUGCAUGUAUUUGUUGCAUCUUGCUUUGCAUUUGCUAUUGUUUUGUUGAGGAGGCAGAUGUAAGACCAUUGCAUUGGCUAUCUUGUUUCCUGUUCCUUUUGGGAGCUGGAUAUUAAGACCAUUUAUUGGCAGUCCAUUUUCCUUUUCUGUUUCUUUUUGUGGAGGUCAGGUUGUAAGACCAUUUGAUGUGCUAUCUGUUUCCUGUUCCUUUUGGCAGAUAGAACGGGAUGUGCAAUCCAUCCCCUGCUACUCAGUUGAGUCUUUCAUCUUGCUCGCACUAUGUGCUGAUGCAUUUGUGAAAUAAACACCCAAAAUCUUGUAUAUAGAGUCAGUCAUUGGAAUAGAGUUCCUCAUUCUGGACUUCCACACCUUCUUUUUGAUUCAAGCUCACCCCGGCCAGGGUUAAGAGCUAUAGGUCUAAUCCUCAUCUCCUAUUUCAUCUGUUCACCCUGACGGUCAAUGUCAGGUGUUAAGAGCCUGACACCCCUUCCAGUAUUUGGCUUGUUUGUCAAGGUCAAUAUGACCCCUUGACUAAAGCCCAGCCUUGUAUGAGCCCUUUUGAUUUGUAGUUAGAGUGUUGCUAAUUGAUUGCUUGUUUGCUUACUUGUGCUAUCCUUCAUGUUGCUUUUGCAUAUUGUUUGCAUCUUGCUUUUGCAUUUGCUAUUUGUUUUGUUUUGAGGAGUCAGAUGUAAGACCAUUGAUUGGCUAUCUGUUUCCUGUUCCUUUUGGGGAGCUGGAUAUAAGACCAUUUAUUGGCAGUCCAUUUCCUUUUCUGUUUCUUUUUGUGGCAGUCAGGUGUAAGACCAUUGAUUGGCUAUCUGUUUCCUGUUCCUUUUGGGCAGAUAGAAGGGAUGUGCAAUCCAUCCCCUGCUACUCAGUUGAGUCUUUCAUCUUGCUCGCACUAUGGUGGCUGAUGCAUUUUGGAAUAAACACCCAAAAUCUUGUAUAUAGAGUCUAGUUCAUUGUGGGAAUAGAGUUCCUCAUUCUGGACGUCCCACACCUUCUUUGAUUCAAGCUCACCCCGGCCAGGGUUAAGAGCUAUGAGGUUCUAAUCCUCAUCUCCUAUUUCAUCUGCUCACCCUGACGGUCAUAUGUCAAGUGGUUUAAGAGCCUGGACACACCCUUCCAGUAUUUGCUUGUUUGUCCAAGGUCCAAUUUGGAACCCCUUGGACUUAAAAGGCCCAGCCUUGUUAUGAGGGAGCCUUUUGCAUUGUAGUUAUAGAGUGUCCUUAAUUGAAUUUGCUUGUUUUGGACUUACUUUCCGUCGCUAUCCCUUUCAUGUUGCUUUUUGCAUAUUGUUUGCAUCUUGCUUUUGCAUUUGCUAUUUGUUUUGUUUGAGGAGUCAGAUGUAAGACCAUUGAUUGGCUAUCUGUUUCCUGUUCCUUUUGGGGAGCUGGAUAUAAGACCAUUUAUUGGCACUCCAUUUCCUUUUCUGUUUCUUUUUGUGGAGUCAGGUGUAAGACCAUUGAUUGGCUAUCUGUUUCCUGUUCCUUUUGGGGAGCCGGAUAUAAGACCAUUGAUUGGAACUCCAUUUCCUAUCUUGUUUUGUUUUGUGGAGUCAGAUGUAAGACCAUUGAUUGGCUAUCUGUUUCCCAUGUUGCUUUGUGGAGUUGGACGUAAGACCAUUUAUUUGCACUCCGUUUCCCAUUUGUUUUCGGAGUGGACGUAAGACCAUUUAUUGGCAAUCCAUUUCCAAUUUUAUUGCUCCUUUGAGCUUGCUUAUUUGCUUUUGCCUUGUGUUGCCUAAUUCCAAAGGAACUUCCUUGAAUCAUUUCUAUGAUUUUGAGAAAGCGAUUCCUAUUUGUGGCUUUGUCCCUUAACCCUUUUGAAUCAUUUCUAUGAUUUUGAGAAAGCGAUUCCUAUUUGUGGCUUUGUCCCUUAACCCUUUUGUGCUUAACCUUGAACCUUGUUUUCAUCUUUAACCCAAACCAGAAAACUUUUGUGCAAACAUUUUCAUCUGUUUCCAAACUAGAAACCUAGGCCUUAAGCCUCUGAUUUUCAAACUUCAUUUUCACAAUACUUCUUUUGAAUUGAACUUUAAUGUCAACUUUGACUCAUCUUUGUGAAUACUCAUAAUUGGUUAAUUUCACUCACUCAAUUGCUUUUGUGGCCCUUGUCCACUUCUUGAUAAGUUUUCAUACAUUAGCCAUAGAUCUGAAUUAUCGUAGUGGUUUAUGUAAAUCUCACCGCAUCCUUAGUGAUUGAAUUGUAAGACUUCCAUGCUUAUUAUAGGGUUAACCCCUCACUAGCGUGUUGUAGCUGUUCUCACGUGGUGGAUUGUUGGUUCAGGUUGAGUUUUCUCUCGUUGAUAAUGAAAGACCUUAAGGUUCUUGUUUAAAAUCAAUCCACUCACUUUUUGGAAAUCUUUUAGCCAAACUACGGCGUUUUGAUCCUUAUCUUUCAUGAAAAGGUACGUAGGCAAUGGGUUCAUCCAUUCAAACACAAAAAUAAUAAAAAUUGUAUAUUCUUUUCUCAUCUCUUCAAUCAAUGUUUGCAAAAAAUUUCAUAAACAAAUAGAUCCUACAACGAGGUUGUGAAAAAGAGGUUCCCAGGAGACUGAUGGUGUGGUGCCCUACACGCUUCCCACACAAUAAUUAUCCGCCUUUACCCAGAUCUCUGACCUUUUAGUAGUUUUUACUCUGUGUAAAACUUAGGCUUUUGUUCGCUUUCUAGCCAUUCCUUUGGAUAAAUAGAAGUGCGGUGGCGACUCUAUCUUUGUAUGCUUUGCUUUUGAUUUAGUCAAUAAAUCAUAAAGUGACGAAUACACCGCUACAAUGAUCAGUUGUGUAGCGCGCUGACUAGCGUGUACCAUGGAACACGCGUUUCUCACCUCUUGAUCUUCCACCUCAAUUAAUGAGGGAGAUCAAGUGGUCCACAUUUUUUUUUAUUAUCUGAAUUUUCAUUUUAUUCCUCUUAUUUUCAUUAAUUCAUAUUAAAUUUAAUAUUGAUCCAAAAAAUAUGAGAGUUUCACCAAAAAAUUUAAACAAAAUCCUCUUUCAUUUUUUGAAUUAAAAUUAUUUUUUGGAUCAUUAUUAAUAUUUUUCACGAUUUAAUUAAUUUUGUGAAUAUUUUUAAUUGUUUAAAAAUACUUUUAAGUUUUCAAAAAUUCUGAAAUUUUUUCUCCAAGGUCCUUUGACCUUGUUUGACCUAUGAUAAAUCCCAUGGGCAUUUCUUUGGCGUUUUGAUGAUGUUUUAGGAAACUGACCAACCAUAUUUAAUUUAAUGCAUUAUUUUUAUUAUAUUUAAUUGAUUAAAUUCCAAAUUAAUUGUGUAGAGCUAUUUUAAUUGAUUUUGUGAGUUUGACUUGUGUUGUUGGGCCUUGGUCAAGGCUGAUUUGACUUUGCUAGGUUAAGAUAAUUAAAUUUAGGGGAUUGAUGGAAUGUACAUUCCAUCUCCCAAAAUGAAUGCAUGAUCUUAACUUGGUAAAAGUCCUCCUUUGUCCAAUUUGUGUUUGAUCCAUUCCCCCUCCCUCUUCGUCUCACUCCCCUUCUUUAUGCAUUCAUGUCAUGGACCUAUAAUAUCUCUAUAUCCUAAGGCUAGUUGAUUGCAAAAUCAACAUAAGUAUGGAUGAGAUUAGGUCCCCCACUUUGCAUAUUCUUUUUGUGUGUGACUAUAAUAUCUCUAUAUCCUAAGGCUAGUUGAUUGCAAAAUCAACAUAAGUAUGGAUGAGAUUAGGUCCCCCACUUUGCAUAUUCUUUUUGUGUGUGGUAUGUUUCAUGAGCAUAGUUAAUCAUACUAUGUCUCUAACAUGCAUUAACACCAAAAUUCUAUUGCCCGACCUCAAAUAGUUGUGACUUCUACAUAAGUCCAAUUACGAUUGCUUAACAUAGCACUAAAUUUUGACACAAAAGGCAUAACAUUCUAGUUAGUGAGAUUGUAAGUCUCCCCUCUCAUGGUAUUUUAUGGAAACUUAGCCUUUUUUCCUUCUUUUGGAAGAUGUCUUGGUUCAUGGAUCCAUGCUUGUGAUAAGUGGAUUGAGUGUUCUCCAAAGAAUGACUUAAAACAAAAGAAAAAGAAAUACUAACUUCUAACUCAUUAACAACUAACAUUUAAUUUCAAGUCAUUUACUUUUUAUGCAUUUUAAUUUUUAAAGCUUUAUUCAUUUGCCAUUAUUCAUACCAUUCAAGUUGUUUAUGUUAAUGUCAUUUUCAAUUUGUCCACUUGAACCAUAUUUUGUGACAUAUUGUGAUUGUGUAUAUUGUGAUUGUUUGUGUGGUCUUUGACCAUUAUUAUACAUAAUAAGAACAAAAACCCUAAAAAAUAUCUUGUGUGGACUGUUGGUUUGAUCUGAGACAAUUGGACUUAGAAUUUAGGCAACACUUCCUAUGCAAAGGACUUGGCCAAUGCCAACUUUCAUAAAACCAAAUGCUUGUGAAUUGAAACUUCAUCUGAUACAUCAUUGAAGAUCCAUUUAAGUUCAUCUGCAACAUGAUCAUUAUGAAGUUGUUAUUUUGAACCUGUGACUUAUGCCAUCCUUUGAAGUCAUCUACUACAUGGGCAAAACUUGAAGAAGAUCAUGGAGUUGUCAAGCUUGGAUGUGGCUAUCUUUAUUUGAUGCCUUGAUCUUCAACUUGCUGUUUGUAUAUUAAUUGUUGUGUGAUUCUAAAGUCCAAGGGAAAUUUGGGUUUCUAUAUAACAUUCUUGUCUACUGGAUUGUAGCCCGUUGGUCAGAUCUUUUCAACUCUUAACUUUUAAAUUUAUGCAUAGGAUUAGUCUCUCCAUCUCCUCCCCAUUUCUUUAAUUUCAAAAUCUAUCCCUCCUUUUAAAAAUCUUCUUUGCUUGUGCUUGUUUUUUCUAAACUUUGACCAUUUUGCAAGCUAGAAACUUUGGCCUUAUGCCAUUGCAUUUUUAAACUCAUUUUCUAAAAUCAAACUUUGUAAAUGAACUUAACCAUACUUGACCUAAAAUUUCAAAAGUAAAAAAGAACUAACACUCAUUCAAACCAUUUUUAGGCCCUUGUGCCUUUCAAACUUAAAUUUUUGUUAAAAGCAAUGCAUCCAUUUUAAAAUUGUUACCACGAACUACGAGGUUUUGAUCCCUCAUUUUUAUGUUGGUACGUAGGCACAAGUCCGAAGGUCUUGUCAAACACAAAAAUAUAAUUAAAGAAUUCUUUUCUCAUACCCUCAUUCUAUUUGUUUGCAAACAUAAUUUUGUACAAAAACACAUAUGCACACAAGAAAGGGCUCCCUAGGAGUAACUAGGACACUUUGGGUGCUAACACCUUCCCUUUAUGUAACCAACCCCCUUACCUGUAAUCUCUGGCAUUUUAUUAGUUUUGAUUUGAAAACUUCUUAUUUUUGGGUUUUGUUCAUACUUUUCCCUUUUCCCUUGGAAACAAUAAAAGCGCGGUGGCGACUCUGGUUUUAUUGACGUCUAGCUUAUCCAUAGCUUGAUGGUCAUGAAUUUACCGCUACAGAAAUUAAGUUGCGACUCUGCUGGGGAGUAGUCUUCAGUGGGUUUAGCCUACAUUUUUGUGUGUAUAUAAUUAUAUAUUUGAUGUAUGUAUAUUUGUUUGUGUGAUAUAAUUUUCUUGUUGUGCUUGGUGAUCUCUGAGUGGUGAGAUAAGUUCUAACUCGAACUUGAGUGCAACUAAGAUAGGAGGAUGAUAUAGUCAUGUUCGACUUGUAUGGAGUAGUCCUUAACAAGUUGGCUUGAGACUCAUCCACUCAGUGGAGACCCUUUUGGAGUUGGGAAUGUCACACAACUAUUUGUGGUUAGGCAUUACUAUCUCUGAUUUGGAGACCCUUUUGGAGUUAGGAAUGUCACACAAUUAUGAUUCUUACCCUCAUUAGGAGUUCUUCAUCACAGAAACUAAGAUUGUUGCAGGAAGUGAUGUUAGCUACUAUAUAAUCGAACUGGUCCACGGUAACAUCAUGUUCCACAAACGCUUGUUCUAGAACUCUUUGCAGUACUUCUCUGUGCGCUUCUGAAUUCAUGAGCAGAGACAGUACUGAAAUCUUUGAGGGGGUUUGGAGUAGCUGCUCCACCAUAUUAAACUCGAUUUUCUUGAUCAAACGAAGUACCUCAUCAUCAUCGUUAGCCUUCAAGUUGCUGGAUUCACCAGACUGACACUUUGAAGCACUAGUCGGAUCUACAGCAGGCACUUCCAUCUUCUUACUGACAAUCGAUUCUUCCUUAUCUUUUGGGAACACCGGCCUAAACACUCGACCGUUACGGGUCACCUUAGUAACAUCAGCAAUGCUCAUGACAGAACUGGUUGUAGGAAAUGGAACCUCUUGACCAUCUUUCACCAUAGUUGCAUUAUACUGAUACAGAACAGCCUUAUCGGAUGAGUAUGGGACUGGACCCACUAACUGUAUGACCAACGGUGAUACCGAUAUAUUGUUAAUGUUGUUACUGCUGUUGCUAUCAUACUGAAUGACUACUCUUUCUGGAUUCUUGAAAGCAUGCACUAUGACAUUCACAUCGUCAUCUAUGUGACGGGAUUUAACAAUUUGAAUCAUACCUUCAUCCAUCAACCGCUCGAUGUCUCUUUUCACUACCAUACAACCCUUUGGGUUGACACUACAGAUAGCACAACCAUCAUGGUCAUGCUCACAAUCGCUCACCAAGAAAAUGUCCUUAUGCAUCGUCACCAAAGACCUUCUGAUGAAAUGGACAUCGAACACUUUGAACUUCCGAGGACAGCCGUGUACCAUGUUGACUGAUGAAUUCCCAUGAGCGGGUAGUGGGUUUGCUUUCACAUUAGGUGCGCGGUCUUCGAAAGACACCAUUCCACUCUUCACUAGCUUUUGAACUUCGUAUUUGAGUGGAUAGCGGUUCUCAAUGUCAUGUCCGGGUGCUCCUUGAUGAAAAGCACAACGGAGGUCAGGUUUGUACCACCAUGGAAGUGGUUCAGGUACUUGCGGAAGGUUUCUUGGUUGUAGCAGGUUCUUGAGAACCAACGAUGGGUAAAGCUCUGCAUAUGUCAUCGGAAUCGGGUCGAAAGAGACCUUCUUCGUCUCAAAAUUUUGUUGUUGAUGAUUGUUGGUAUUGUUGUUGUUGUAGGUGUUUGUUCGUUGCGGUGGUUGUUGUUGUUGACGCUGUUGUUGUUGAAUCAGUGUUGAUUGACUUGCGGAAAAUACAGGAAUUACGGAGGAUACUUGAUGAUGGCGUUGACGGGGUGGUUGAUUCCUUCUGAUCUGAGGCCUCCUCUGCCUCCCACUGGAAAUUGUAUUGGCUUUGCUGUCUUUCUUCUUCCUGAAACUGCUGCCAUAUCUCUUACUCGAUGAUGCCUCCUCUUUUGACAAUCGUCUUUCUUGGACACCUUCUUCAAGCCUCACCCCCAUAUUUACCAUUUCGGUAAAGACAUUGGGGGCACUGGCGAUCAUACGUUCAUAGUAAAAUGAACUCAGGGUCUUCAAAAAGAUCUCUGUUAUCUCAUUCUCUUCCUAAGGAGGAGUGAUCUGAGCAACUAACUCUCUCCAUCUUUGCGUAUAUUCUUUGAAUGUCUCCUUAUCUUUCUGAGACAUAGACCUCAAUUCGUCUCUAUCAGGCGCCAUAUCAACGUUGUACUUGUACUGCUUAACAAAUUCUUCUCCCAAAUCGUUGAAAGAGCGGAUGCUUGCACUAUCCAACCCCAUAUACCAUCUUAGCACAACGCCGGUCAAACUGUCUUGAAAGUAAUGGAUUAACAGUUGAUCAUUGUCAGUUUGGAUAGACAUCUUGCGGGCAUACAUCACCAAGUGACUGAGCGGACAUGUGUUCCUUUUGUAUUUUUCAAAGUCAGGCACUUUGAACUUCACUGGAAUCUUCACAUUCGGCAUCAGACACAAUUCAGCAACACUCUUCCCAAAAAGAUCCUUACCUCUCAAAUUUUCAACUCCUUGCGCAGCUCAAGAAAUUGAUCUUUCAUCUCAUCCAUAUUCUCAUAAACGUCCGGACCCUCAAAUGGCUCAGAAUGAUAAAUGGUGUCUUCCACACGAGGUAAGGUGUGCACUACAGGCGGUGGUACAAACAUGACUGGGCUAGAUGCCGGCAUGGAAGCAAAUGUAGGCGCAAAACCUUCAGGCAUGAAGUUCGGCGGUAUUCCCCACGGGAAUCCGACAGGCAUGGCAGGUGCGAAAUGAGCGGUAGUAGCAGGCAUGGUAGAGGUAACCACCUCUGAAAUAAUGGUCCUCUGAGGAGGAGGAGUUGCGGGCGUUAGAGAAGACUGACUUUGUGCAGCUAGAGCUGACUCCAUCAUGGCAGUCAGGCGGGCAAUCUCAUCCUUUAGCUCUCUAUUCUCUUGCUCAAGAUGUUCCAUGAUUCUGGUGUGAUUGGCGCGAGUGUUGUAUCAAUGAGUCAGCUUGGCUAAUGCACAGAAGAAACACCAAUGAGACAUCUGGCGAAAGAGAAACCUGCUUAUGCAAAUGAUGCAUGAAAUGCAAUGCUUGUUUAUUUAUUUUUUGUUUUCAAAGAACUUACUAUAUUGUUUUUGGCAAAUAUAUAUAUAUAUAUAUUAUAUAUAUAUAUAUAGUAUAUAUAUAUAUAUAUAUAUAUAUAUAUAUAUAUAGUAUAUAUAUAUAUAUAUAUAUAUAUAUAUAUAUAUAUAUAUAUAUAUAUAUAUAUAUUAAUUAGUAUAUAUAUAUAUAUAUAUAUAUAUAUUUAACAACAAUUGCAACAAUUUGAUAUGACCAAAAAUCUCUUUUCAUUUAUAAUUGGAAGGAUUACACUGAGUACAAUUUCAGAAACCAAAUGGAAAGUAAAAGAGUAAAGGAGACUAGUCAUCCUAAGGAUCCCUAACAACAAUGUCAAAAGAUCUGGCUGUAGGCGCGUACUUCUUUCGAAUGCGUCUAAUCUCGGCCUCGAAAGAAGCCUUCAUCUGAGUCUUCUCGAGGACAAACUGAUCAACAAUCUUCUUCCAAGCAACAGAAGGAUGAGGCAUGCUAGAGGAAGAUGAGACCUCUAACUCUCUCUGUCUCUUUGUCACUCGGUCUUCAAGUAGCUUAAUGAGUGGAUCUUUGUCCUUAGACUCCAACUGCAACUCCUCAUGCUUUUUUGCUCAAAGCACGAAAACACUCUUCCCACAUAUCCUUCUCUUGCUUCAUCUUGGCGAGUGCGUCUUCCAACUCCUCUAUAUCUUGGUUAGGGAGAGUUAAUGGCUCAACCACAACCAUAGACAUAGGUCUCUCACAAGGAUAAGGCAUCUUCAACUCCAAAGCUCUCUUCUUCACCCAAAGAGUGUAAGCUUCCAAAGCUACACAAUUGCACGAACCAAGCUCGAAUCUUCCCUCCUAUGACAUUAUGCAAGCAUGCACAAUCUUUUGCUUCAAAUGUUGGGGAUCUUUACCCUCUUGAUAGAAAAUACCUUCUAACAAAGUGUUAUUAGGUUUGUCUCUCAAGGGGAACCCAAGUUGACGACGAGCCAAAGCAGGAUUGUAGUUAAUUCCUCCCUUUGUACCAAUGAGGGGUACAUUAGAGAAUUCACGACAACAAUCAAUAAUCUCCAAACUGCUCGAAGAAGGAUCAUACCAAACUAUAUCAUCAUUAGUGAUAGACAUAAGUCUCUGAGACCACCGUAGACAUUGUUUGUUCUCCACAAAAGCAGGUGUCUGAGGCAAGUGCGAAAUAAACGACUUGUACAGAAGAGGAAUGAAACAGACAAUAGUUCCACCACCUUUAGAGUUCCUUAGAUGCAAAGAGAAAUACAUAUCACCCAACAAUGUAGGCACAUGAUUCCCAAUCAAGAAAACUCUAAUGGCGUUAACAUCAACAAAAUCAUCAAUGUUAUGGAACAAAGCUAAUCCAUAAAUGAGCAACACAAAGAUGGCUUCAAAAGCGUCCACACUACCGGCUUGAGCAAAAGCAGUAGCUUCCUUGAUGAGGAAAUCAGAUGGCAAUCCAAACAAUCCUCCUUUCUUCACCCAAUGAGCCUCAAUCUCAGACUUCUUCAAGUGAAGAGCUUCAAUAAUAAGAUGAGAUCUGGGAAUCUCCUCCAAUCCUCUAAAAGGUACCUUUAUAGAAACAGGUAUUCCCAAGAGAUGGGCAUACUCCUCUAAUGUAGGCAAAAGCUAAUAAUCCGGAAAAGUGAAGCAACGGUAGAGAGGAUCAUAGAACUGCACUAACACACUCAAAAGUCCUUCAACUACAUCAGCAGACAAGAUAGACAGAAGCUUCCCAUGGAGUUGUUUGAAGUCCAAGGGAUUUAAUACAAAAGAUGCUAGCUUCCUUAACUCUUUCAAGUCGGGACAUCUGAAACUGUACUUCUUAGUGUUCCUUUGUCUACAAUCCAUGGUGUGAAAAUAUUUGCAAAUAAUACCUUAGUUCCUUGAAAUUUUUGUGUGAUGAAUGUUAUGAUACGUAUGAAUGCAUGAAUGCAACAAUCACAAAUAAGGGAUCACGCACAAGGCAAGCAAACAAAGGUCAAGGGAUGAAUCAAGUCAUUGUCAAGAUCAAUCAUCCAUUUUGGUGGAUUAUGGUUUUCACCUUAUCAGCACCCAAGUUCCAUUGAUAUUGACAAUACUUGAUUGGAUCAACCAAGAAUAAAGGGUUUGUCGUGACUCACGAGCAUGGAGUCUGGGUAAGAACCAUCCCAAGGGAGUGAACUAAGGAUAAAAACCUGUAAAUCAUGUUCUAAAAAGUUCCCAGAGUCUUAAUCCCAUAUAUCGGAUAUUACAGGUUAAGAUGACUGACUCAUCAACCCAUAAUAUUCUCAAGAGAAACUCGUCUGAGUGUAGUAUCGCGUAAUAACUGUUAUCAAGUCUACACUUGAACAGUAUCCUCACUACGUCCUAAAUAGGCCAAGUGGGGAUAAAUGUUCUACGGUCCUCAGCUUCUCGGAUCCAAACUAGAGAUAGUAAUGCCUAACCACAAAUACUUGUGUGACAUUUCCAAAUCCAAAAGGGUCUCCACUGAGCAUAUGGAUCUUAAGCCAACUUGUUAAGGAAUACUCCACACAAGUCGAACAUGACUAUACCAUCCUCAUAUCUUAAUUACAGUCAAGUUCGUGUUAGAGCUUAUCUCACCACUCACAGAUCACCAAGCACAACAAGCAAAUUAUAUCACACAGAUAUACAUACAUCAUAUAUAUACAAUUAUAUACACAUAAAAAAGUAGGCUAAACCCACUCGAGACUACUCCGCAGCAGAGUCGCCACUUAAUUUCUAUAGCGGUAAAUUCAUGAUCAUCAAGCUAUGGAUAAGCUAGACAUCAAAUAACAAGAGUCGCCACCGCGCUUUUAUUGUUUCCAAGAGAAAAGGGAAAAGUACGAACAAAACCCAAAAAUAUGAAGUUUUCAAAUCAAAACUAAUAAAAUGCCAGAGGUUACAAGUAAGGGGUUUGGUUACACAGAGGGAAGGUGUUAGCACCCAAAGUGUCCUAGGUACUCCUAGGGAGCCUUUUCUUGUGUGAAUGUGUAUUUUGUACAAAGUGAUGUUUACAAAUAAAUAGAAUGGGGGGGGGGGAUUUAGAAAAUAACAAGUUCAAACAAAGAAGUUUUUAAAAGGAGGGAGAGAUUUUGAAAUUAAAGAGAUGGGGAGGAGAUGAAGAGACUAAUCCUAAGCAUAAAUUUAAAAGUUAAGAGUUGAAAAGACCUGGCCAAUGGGCUGCAAUCCAAUAGGCAAGAAUGCCAUAUAGAAACCACAGGUUCAAAAUAACAGGUUCACAAUGAUCAUGUUGCAGAUGAACUCAUAUGGAUCUUCAAUGAUGUAUCAGAUGAAGUUUCAAAUUGCAAGCACUUGGUUACAUGAAAGGGCAUUGGCCAAGUCCUUUUGCAUAAGGAUGUUGCCUAGAUUCUAAGUCCAAUUGUCCAAGAUCAAACCAACAGUCCACACAAUAGUUUUUUAGGGUUUGAGUUUCUUAUUAUGUACAUUAAUGGUCAAAGACCACACAAACAAACAAAAUUUACACAAACAAGAUAUAUCACACAAUAUGGUCCAAGUGGAGAAAGUGAAAAGACAUUAAUAUAAAUAAUUAGAAUGGUAUGGAUAAUGGCAAAUGAAUAGAGCUUAAAGUGCAUUAAAAGUAAAUGGCUUCAAAUUAAAUGUUAGUUGUUAAUGAAUUAGAAGUUAGUAUUGUUUUUGCUUUUGCUUUUUAAGUAAUUCUUUGGAGAACACUCAACCCACUUAUCACAAGCAUGGAUCCUUGAACCAAGACAUCUUCCAAAGGAAGGAAAAAAGGCCAAGUUUCCACACAAUACCAUGAAAGAGGGGAGACUUACAAUCUCACUUAUCACAAGCAUGGAUCCUUGAACCAAGACAUCUUCCAAAGGAAGGAAAAAAGGCCAAGUUUCCACACAAUACCAUGAAAGAGGGGAGACUUACAAUCUCACUAACUAGAAUGCUAUGCCUUUUUAUGUCAAAAUUUAGCGCUAUGUUAGGCAAUCGUAAUUGGACUUAUGUAGAAGUCAUAACUAUUUGAGGCAGGGCAAUAGAAUUUUGGUGUUAAUGCAUGUUAGAGACAUAAUAUAAUGGACUAUGCUCAUGAAACAUACCACACACAAAAAGAAUAUGCAAAAUAGGUGGCCUAAUCUCAUCCAUACUUAUGUUGAUUUUUCAAUCAACUAGCCUUAGGACUUUGAGAUAUCACAGGCCAAAUGGAAUGGAUGCAUAAUAAAGAAGAAUUAGAUGAAGAGGGAAGGGAAUAGAUCAAAACUCAAAUUGGUCAAAGGAGAACUUUUACCAAAUUAAUAUCAUUCAUUCAUUUUGGGAGAUGGAAUGCACAUUCCAUCAAUCCCCUAAAUCCAAUGAUCUUAACCUAGCAAAGUCAAAUCAACCUUGACCAAGGCCCAACAACACAAGUCAAACUUAUACAAAUUAUCAAGAUAGCUCAACACAAUUAUUUGGCAUUUAUUCAAUUUAAAAAAUACUAAAAAUAAUGCAUUAAAUUAAAUAUAGUUUGUCAAAUUCCUAAAGUCUCAUCAAAACACCAAAGAAAUGGCCAUGGGAUUUAUCAUAGGGCAAACAAGGUCAAAGGACCUUGGAGAAAAAAAUUCAGAAUUUUUGGAGACUUAAAAGUAUUUUUAAACAAUUAAAAAUAUUCACAAAAUCAAUUAAAUCAUGAAAAAUAUUAAUAAUAAUCCAAAAAAUAAUUUUAAUUCAGAAUAUGAAAGAAGAAUUUAUUUAAAAUUUUUGGUGAAACUCUCAUAUUUUUUGGAUCAAUAUUAAAAUUAAUAUGAAUUAAUGAAAAUCAAAUGAAAUAAAAUGAAAAUAAAAAAAUAAAAAAAAACGUAGACCACUUGAUCUCCCUCAUUAAUUGAGGUGGCAGAUCAAGUGGUUUAAAACGCGCGUUCCACCAAAGACACGAGUCAAUGCGCAACACUAAUGGUAUUCAAAAGCAACGCUCAAGAUUAAAACAAUUUAAAUAAGAUCAAUGGCUCAGAACCUGUCCAGCACACCACCGACGUUGGACCUCCGGUCACCUUCUCAGGCGAGGUCCACUGGACUGGUUCAAUCAUCAUCAUCAAGAAAAUGAAAAAAAAAGGACAUGAUCUGAAAGAAAAAAUGGCUUAGAGCACGAGUCUAGCCUCAAUUUCAACUAACUCCAAAUACAUAGAAAGAUAUGAGGAGUUGAAUUUUGAGGUGUGUCAGGUGAGUUGCUUCGAUUUGACCUCAAAGCAACUCAAUCUUCUUGCCUACAUUGGUAGGACUUCAGACAACCAAAGAUCCAAGAGAAUUGAUGAUAAUCGAGUGAGAAUUGAAGAGGAGAAGAUUUCUGAAAAUUACCUUCAAUGUUGUGUAGAAAUGGAUCUUGCUUGCUUCAAACUUGACUUGAUCACACUCGAGGAGCUUGCAGAAGUGGUUUGGCAAUGGUACAAAGCUUUGGAUCCUAGAGUUUUUGAAUCUCCAAAUAGUGAGAUUCAAACUCAAUUUUCAAGUUGAAAAUUCUCAGGUUUUCCUUUGAAUGGCGAGGGUUUCAAUUGGGGGGCAAAGCUGGCGCGCAAGGUGUGUUUGAAAUGAGCUCAGAGGCCUUGUAUUUAUAGCAUUUGGGAUUGAUAAUUGCACACUUGAAAAAUCGCUAAAAAUGGCAAGGGUGAUGCACAAGCAUGCAUGGGCGUGUACAAGCCCAUGAAGCAAUCCAUUAAGAUCCAAUUGCAACUGUGCUGAAGUUCAAAUCAUGCUUGAAUGGCAAGGAAAAGUGAAAUGGAGUUUUGGACACUUGAUUUUCUCCAAUGAUGCAGACCUGUUAAGACCAUGCGCAACCCUAGCAAACCUCAUCCAAAAUGCAUGAAAUAGGGUUCUUUGGAAAGCUUACAUCAAGGGGAACAACUUUGAUGUUGAACACUUUUCCAAUUGGAAUUGGAUCAUGGUGAAUUUUAAGGUGGAAGUUUGGAAAUUUCAACAUAUUGAAAUUUUUUCUAAGUGUUAAGUCAUAUAUCUCAAUAUUCCACCUUGCUUAACUUCUUAUGUGGGUUUCAAAUGAGAAAAGUGUUUUCAUAAAAGUUGUAGAUCUUUCAAAGUCCUUCAAAAUGGUCACCAAUUUCAUAUUAUUUGGAUUUAUAAUGAUAGAGUUAUUGAUUUUUGAAGUUGAGGAAAAUCACUUGUUCAAUGGUAUAGGUAAAAAAUGACCUAUAAUGUAUCCUUAGAUCACAUGCUCAUAAAAGUUGAUUUAGCUCUCACUCCAAACAUCAAAGUUGAAUUAAACAUCUUGAAUUUGAUUGUGCAACUUGUAAAUCUUUCAUCUCAUAAAAAUUGAGCAAGUUAUCUCCUUGGGAGGUUGACUUUCAAAUUAGGGUUUAGACAAAAUGACCUAUAAUGUUUCAUCAUAGAAAAUGAUUUUCCAAGAAAAACUAGAUCUAGGUCUCAAAAUGAAAGUUGUUUGGAAUGUCAUUUAGAGUAAAUUUUAUCUUGAAAUAGUUUUCAUAAGGUGAAAAUUACAGGAGAUAGCGUCUAGGGAGACCCAAUUUUGAUCAGAUGAAUUCAUCUGACCAACCACCAUCAACCAACUUGAUAACCUUCAAUUAUCUUGACUUUCUAUGCUCAUGGUAGAUCAUAUAUGCAUAAGAUUAUGAAUUUUGAAAUGUGCCUUGAGAAAUUUGAUCAAUUAGUGAGAUAGCUUGUUGGAGAAGUUUGUUGGUGUAAGCCCUAGAGGCCAAUACUUUUGGUACUUGUAUCGAAUUAUUUAUUAAUAAUAAAAGGCUUUUUCUUUAUUAUGUUUGUUUAAUAAAGUCCCUAGAAUAGCUAGUCCAUUUAAUGUAUCAAGUAUGACUUAAUCAUGAGAUCACAUUAAACAUAAGGACACUAUUCUUAAAGUAUUCGUAGUCAAGCUUUAUUGUGAAGUGGAUAACAUUAAAGCAUGAAGACUAUUAUGUUUAUAGGACUGAUGAUCACAUCUCAUGGAUCAUGGAUAAAGAGUUAUCAAGUCUUAAACAUAGGUAUGAAUAUUAAGAGUAAUAUUUAUACUGGAUUGACCCGCUAUGAGAAUAUAUAUAGAAUGUUAUGAAAAGUGUCAUAAGUUAUUCUCAUGGUGAUAAUGUGUAUACCACCCUUCGACCUGAAACCACUAUGGAACCUAGAUGUAGAGUCGAGUGCCUUAUUGCUGAUCAAACGUUGUCCAUAAUUGGAUGACCAUAAAGAACCGUUGAGGUGUACUCCACGAAGCAUGCUAAGGGACAUGAGUGACCUAGAUGGAAUUUGCCCAUCCUGCGUAACAGGAUAAAUGUCUAUGGGCCCAAUAUUAAACUGGACAAGGAUGACACAGUCUAUGCCUUGUGCUCAAUAUAGACAUAAGGGCAAAAGGGUAAUUAUACACAUAAUUAUUAUCACAUAAGGAUUUGUCAGAUCACAUGACAUUUUCGUGUCUUGGAUAGCAGUGAUGUGUUGCUAGAUACCGCUCACUAUUUAUUAUGUUAAAUACGUGAUUUAAUAUAAUUGCCAAUGCCGCGAAAACCUAUAGGGUCACACACAAAGAAUGGAUUGAUGAGAGAUAGAGUAAUUAAGGAAUACCAUAAUGUACGGUGCCCUUAAGUGAAUUAUAGAACAUCGUAAGAUACGGUGUACUUAAGUAGAAUAUGAAAUAUGGUAAGGUACCACACACUUAAGUGAUUUUGGCAUAUUAUAAGAUAUGGGCCAUAUACACUUGAGUGGGCUUUUUAGCUUGCAGCCCACACAAGUGGUUAAAUAGAACCCUUGUGUAGAAGCAUGAUACACUUGCAAUUUCGUCUCUCUCUCUCUCUCUCUCUCUCACUCAAAGCCUUCAUUCGUAGCAGCUAGCAUUGAGAUUGAAGGAAUCCGUUCGUGUGGACUGAGUAGAGGCGUUGUCAUCGUUCAACGUUCGUGAUCGCCACAAGAGGUAAUGAUUCUAUCACUGAUCAUGCCCAUUCGUAAGGAUUAUUAAAGGAGAAAUUUUAAAUUCCGCUGCGUUUUAGAUCGCCCUUCUCCUUCAAAGUUACCUAAGAUACCCAGUCAAACUAGGGUUUCCAAGGCAAAUCACUUCCAAACUCUUGAAGAAUACUUGAUCAAUAUGGCAUGUAGAGAUCAUUGGGACUCAUAUAUGAUACUUUGAGACAUUGUGAAUCCAUCCUUGGUUGUUCUUUUAGCCAUGAGGGUCUUAAACCCUAGAUGUGAACUUGAUAGAUCAAUGAUGAUCAUGCCCUACCUACAAAAGAGUUAGGCAAAUGCAAAGACAUAUUUUUGGUGUUUUGGUUAGUAAAAUGAUAAUAUACAAGUAUGAUACAAUCACAUAGUGCUUGGUGAUCUCUCCCAAAGCAAACCCAAUGAAAGAGGGGGUAAGGAGGAUGCCAAGGUAUGAUCCCAAUGCCAAUGCAUAUAAUGAAAUUUGCAUGAGGGAUCUUAGGGUCAAAAUUGGGGUCUUACAGACUCAAGUUGCAACUCUUCAUGCUUUCUGCUCAAAGCAUGGAACCGCUCUUCCCACAUAUUUUUCUCUUGCUUCAUCUUGGCGAGUGCGUCUUCCAACUCCUCUACAUAUUGGUUAGGGAGAGUUAAUGGCUCAACCACAACCAUAGAUAUAGGUCUCUCACAAGCAUAUGGCAUCUUCAACUCCAAAGCUCUCUUCUUCGCCCAAGUAGUGUUAGCUUCCAAAGCUACACAGUUACACGGACCAAGCUUGGAUCUUCUUUCAUAUGCAUAUUAUGCCAAGCAUGAACGAUCUUCUACUUCAAAUGUUCGGGAUCUUUAUCCUCUUGAUAGAAAAUACCUUCUAACUGAGUGUUAUUAGGCUUGUCUCUCAAGGGGAACCGAAGUUGACGACGAGCCAAAACAGGGUUGUAGUUAAUUCCUCCUUGUGUAUGAAUGAGAGGCACAUUAGAGAAUUCACUACAACUGUCAAUAAUAUCCAAUCUACUCAAUGCGGAGUCAUACCAAACUAUAUUAUCAUUACUGAGAGACAUAAGUCUUUGAGACCAUCGUAGACACUAUUUGUUCUCCACAAAAGCAGACAUCUGAGGCAAGUGCAAAAUAAACCACUUGUGCAGAAGAGGAACACAACACACAAUAGUUCCACCACCUUUGGAAUUCCUUAGAUGCAAAGAGAAGUACAUAUCACCUAACAGAGUAGGCACAAGAUUCCCAAUCAAGAAGAUUCUAAUGGCGUUAACAUCAACAAAAUCGUCAAUGAUAGGGAACAAAGCCAAACCAUAGAUGAGCAACACAAAGAUAGCUUCGAAAGCAUCCACACUACCAUCUUGAGCAAAGGCAGUAGCUUUCCCUAUACGGAACUCAGAAGUCAAACCAAAUAUUCCUCCUUUCUUCAUCCAAUGAGAUUCAAUCUCAGACUUUUUCAGAUGAAGAGCUUCAGCUAUAAUAUAAGAUUUGGGAAUCUCCUCCAAUCCACUAAAAGGCACUUUGUUAGAAACAUGUAUUCCCAACAGAAGAGCAUACUCCUCUAACGUAGGCAUAAGCUGAUAAUCAGGAAAAGUGAAGCAACGAUAGAGAGGAUCAUAAAACUGAAACAAAACACUCAAGAGUCCUUCAACUAAAUCAGCAGAUAAUACAGAUAAAAGCUUCUCAUGACGUUGUUUGAAGUCCAAGGGAUCUAAUACAAAGGAUGAUAGCUUCCUUAGCUCUUUCAAAUUAGGACAUCUGAAACUAUACUUCUUAGUGUUCCUUCGCCCACAAUCCAUAGUCUGAAAAUAUUUGCAAAUAAAACCUCAGUUCCUUGAAGUUAUUUUUCAUGUGAUGAAUGUUAUGAUGCACAUGAAUGCAUGAAUGCAACAAUCACAAAUAAGGGAUCACAUACAAGGCAAACAAAUGUCAAGGGAUGAAUCAAGUCAUUGUCAAGAUCAAUCAUCCAUUUUGGUGGAUUAUAGUAUUCACCUUAUCAAUACCUAAGUUCCAUUGAUAUUGAUAAGACUUGAUUGGAUCAACCAAGAAUCAAGGGUUUGUUGUGAGUCACGAGCAUGAAGUCAGGUUAAAAACCAUCCUUAAAGGAGUGUACUAAGGAUAAAAUCUCGUAGAUCAUGUUCUAAAAAGUUCCCAGAGUCUUAAUUCCAUCUAUCGGAUAUUACAGGUUAGGAUGACUGACUCAUCAACCCAUAAUAUUCUCAAGAGAAACUCGUCUGAGUGUAGUGUCGUGUAACAACUGUUAUCAAGUCUACACUCGAACAGUCUCCGCACUACGUCCAAAAUAGGCCAAGUAGGGUUAAAUGUUCUACGGUCCUUAGCUUCUCAGACCCUGAAUCAGAGAAAGUAAUUCCUAACCACAAAUAACUUGUGUCACAUCAAUAGCUCCAAAAGUGUCUCCACUGAGUAGAUGGGUCUCAAGCCAACUUGUUAAGGACUACUCCACACAAGUCGAACAUGACUCUACCAUCUUCCUAUCUUAAUUGCACUCAAGUUCGGGUUAGAACUUAUCUCACCACUCAGAGAUCACCAAGCACAACAAGCAUAUUAUAUCAUACAAACAAAUAUGCAAACAUCAAAUAUACAAUUAUAUACACAUAAAAAAGUAGGCUAAACCCACUGGAGACUACUCUCCAGCAGAGUCGCCACUUAAUUUCUGUAGCGGUAAAUUCAUGAUCAUUAAGUUAUGGAUAAACUUAACGUCAAUAAAACCAGAGUCGCCACCACGCUUUAAUUGUUUCCAAGGGAAAAGAGAAAAGUACGAACAAAACCCAAAGAUAAGAAGUUUUCAAAUCAAAACUAAUAAAAUGCCAAAGAUUACAGGUAAGGGGGUUGGUUACACAAAGGGAAGGUGUUAGCACCCAAAGUGUCCUAGAUACCCCUAGGGAACCCUUUUUUAUGUGUGCACGUGUUUUGGUAUGAGAAAAGAAUUCAUUAAUUAUAUUUUUGUGUUUGACGAGAUCUUCGGACUUGUGCCUACGUACCAACAUAAAAAUGAGAGAUCAAAACCUCGUAGUUUGUGGUAUCAAUUUCAAAGUGAGUAAAUUGCUUUUAACAAAAUUUUAAGUUUAAAGGAGGAACAAAGGGAUUUAAAAAGUUUGAAUGAGUGUUAGUUCUCUUUGUGUUUUGAAACUUUAAGUCAAUAUGAUUAGAUUUAUUCACAAGUUUGGUUUGAGAAAAGAGUUUAAAAUGCAAUGGCAUAAGACCAAAGUUUCUAAUUUUCAAUAACGUCUAAGUUUAGAAAUCACAAGCAAAGAAGGUUUUUGAAAAGAGAGAGAGAUUUGAAAUUGAAGAAGUGGAAGGAGAUGAAGAGAUUAAUCCUAAGCAAAAAUUUAAAAGUUAAGAGUUGAAAAGAUCUGACCAAUGGGAUGCAAUCCAAUAGACAAGAAUGUCAUAUAGAAACUCACUUUUCACUUGGACUUUGGGAUCAAGAAAUAUCAAUGCACAAAUAGAAAGAUGAAGAGAAAGGCAUCAAAUAAAGAUAGCCACAUCCAAGCUAGAAACUUCAUAAUCUUCUUCAUAAUCUUCCCCAUGUAUUAGAUGACAUACUCCUUGAAUGACUCACAGUAAGGCAUUAAACACAGGUUCAAAGUAAAAUUUGCAUCAAGACCAUGUAGCAGAUGAACUCAGAGGGAUCUCAAUACUUGCAUCAGAUGAAAGUUCUCUUCAUAAUGACUUGGUUUCAGAAAAGUUGGCAUUGGCCAAGUCCUUUUGCAUAGGGAAUGUUGCCUAAUUCUAAGUCCAAAGCUCAGACCAUAAUCCAACAGUCCACAUAAAUAUUUUUUAGGGUUUUUGUUGUUUAUUAUGUACUUUAAGGUCCUAAGACCACAAACACAAACAAAAUACACAAACAAGUAUAUACAAUCACAAUUCAUGGCUCAAGUCAGCAAAGAGAAAAUGACAUUAAAAUAAACAAGUUAAAUGGUAUGUAUAAUGACAAAUGAUAAAUGACUUGAAUUUAAAUUGCAUAAAAUAAAUGACUUGAAAUUAAAAGUUAGUCAAAUGUUAGUUGAUUAGGAGUUAGUGGAAUUUUGCUUUUCAACUUUUUAAGUCAUUCUUUGGAGAACACUCAACCCUCUAUUCACAAGCAUGGAUCCUUGAACCAAGACAUCUUCCAAAGGAAGGAAAAAAGACCAAGUUUCCACACAAUACCAUGAAAGGGGGGAGACUUAAGGAGAACACUCAACCCUCUAUUCACAAGCAUGGAUCCUUGAACCAAGACAUCUUCCAAAGGAAGGAAAAAAGACCAAGUUUCCACACAAUACCAUGAAAGGGGGGAGACUUACAAUCUCACUUACUAAAAUGCUACGUCUUUUUUUGUGUCAAAAUUUAGUGCUAUGUUAAGCAAUCGUAAUUGGACUUAUAUAGAAGUCACAACUAUAUGAGGCCAGGCAAUAAAUUUUUUGGUGUUAAUGCAUGUUAGAGAUAUGGUAUAAUGAACCAUACUCCUAAAACAUACCACACACAAAAAGAAAAUGAUCAAAGGGUGGACCUAAUCUCAUCCAUACUGGUAUUAGUUCAUGAACCAAUUAGCCUUAGGAUAUUGAGAUGUCAUUGGCCAAUGAGAGGUGUGGGAUAGAAAAGGAUUGAAGAUGAAGAGGGAAGGGAAAUGAGACAAAUACAAAUUAGUCAUGGGAGGAAUUUCAUCAAAUUAAAAUCAUUCAUUCAUUUUGGGAGAUGAAAUGUAUAUUUCAUCAAUCCCCUAAAUCCAAUGAUUUUAAUCCAACAAAAGUCAAAUCAACCUUGACCAAGGUCCAAACACAAUAGUCAAACUCCACAAGUCAAUAAAAAUGGCUCAACAUAAUUUAUUCACAAUUGAACAAAUUAAAAAUCAAUUAAAAAUCAAUUAAAUUAAAUUAUGUUUGAUCAAAAACCUAAAACCUCUUCAAAAACCAAAUAAAUGGCCAAGAGAUUUAUCAUAGGUCAAACAAGGUCAAAGGACCAUGGAGAAAAUUUUUCACUAUUUUUGAAAAGUCAGAAGUAUUUUUAAACAAUUAAAAAUAUGUACAAAAACAAUUAAAUCAUGAAAAAUAUUAAUAUUGAUCCAAAAAAUAUUUUUAAUUCAAAAAAUGGAAGAGAAAAAUAUUUGUAAUUUUUUGGUGAAAGUCCCAUAUUUUUUGGAUCAAUAUUAAAAUUAAUAUGAAUUAAUGAAAAUAAGGCAAAUAAAAUGAAAAUUCAGAAAUUACAAAAUACGUGGACCAUUUGAUCUCUCUCAUUAAUUGAGGUGGCGGAUCAAAUGGUUCAAAGCGCGCGUUCCAUGUGGUCAUCAAUCAACUACGCAACACGCGUGGCAAUCACAACCAACGCUCAAGAUUAAAAUAAAAU
This 53932-nucleotide long non-coding RNA is filed under the name Lathyrus oleraceus (garden pea). Its description in RNAcentral is "Pisum sativum (pea) long non-coding RNA (PSAT_LNC019224)". The record is from RNAcentral. Lineage: Eukaryota; Viridiplantae; Streptophyta; Magnoliopsida; Fabales; Fabaceae.